AUAUACGUACUACUUGAUACUCCCUCUGUCCCAUUUAAUUCUAUACGUUUCUUUUUCACUGUUCGACACGCACUUCAAUGCUCCUAUAAAAUAUAGUUCAAUAACUUAUUUUUAAAAUUUUCUUUUUCUAAAUAAAAAUAGAACAUUCAUACUUUUAUUCAGAAAAGAAAAAUCUUAAAAAUAAGUUAUAGAACUAUACUUUACAGGAGCAUUAAAGUCCGUGCCGCGUCCCCGUCCCCCAAUGUAUAUAACUUAGGGGGACGGAGGGAGUAUUGAUUAAAAAAUAUUAUAAUUAUUUUCGUUUAAUCAAGUAUAAUAACUUAAUAUCUGAUUUUCUUACCGUCAAAUAAAUUAUUCAUAAUUUAUAAUCAAUUUUAUAUUAUAAUGAAUAUCAAUAUAAUGAUUGUUUGACAUUAUACGAUAAUUGACCAAUGUAAUUUAAAUAUAAAUCGUAGCUUUUACAAUUAACUUACAUACAUACUACUUGACAAUUGAUAUUGAUUAAAAAAUAAUUUACACUCAUCUAAUCAAUUAUAAUAAUUUAACAUCAGCUCGAUAUGAUUUUUUCAUAUGUUCACGACUCUAUAAGAUAAUUGACCAGUUCAUUCUAAAUAUAAAUCGUAGCUUUUAGAAAUAACUUAUAUACGUACUACUUAACAUUUGAUAUUUGAUUAAAAUAUAAUUAUAUUUCUAUUCACUUAAUCAAGUAUAAUAACUUAAAAUACCAGUGUGAUAUGAUUCUAUUUAUCGUUAAAUAAAUUAUUCACUAUUGGUAUAUAUUGCACCGUUUUUAUCAAAAAUCAUAUUUUAUAGUUGAUUUCAUAUGUUAUCGAAUAUCAAUAAUAUAAUUGUUUAGGAUCUUAUAAGAUAAUUGACCAGUGUAAUCUAAAUAUGAAUUGUGUUCGUAGUUACAAAUAAGCUAUAUACGUACCAUUUGAUAUUGACUAAAAAAGUAAUUAUAUUUGUAUUCGUUUAAUCAAGUAUAAUUAUUUUAUAUCAUCGUGAUAGAUAUUUUUUAUUGUAAAAUAAAUUAUUCCUUAAUGAUAUUGUAUCGAUCAAAGAUCAAAAUUUAAAAUUAUAUAAGACUUUAUAAGAUAAUUGACCAAUUUAAUCUAAAUAUGGAUGAGUACAUUGCCUUUACGAAUACAGAUAUGAUCAUUUUUUGAAGCAAAAUAUGAUCUUUUUUUAAUAGCUAAAUAAAUUCUUUUAUAAUUAUAUAAUAAGAUAUAAUCUUCUUUUAAUAAUUAUAUAUUCUCCUUUUUUAUUUUUUGAGCAAUUAUAAUAUCUUACGAUCAAUACAAUAUUAGUAGUUGAAAAGACACCCUAAUUUACACCUAAUAAGUCUAUAUAUACUACCCUGCUAACACAAUACUCACGUAUCACCUGUACCCAUUAAAUUCUUCUAUAGCGUUUGGUAAAGAAGAAGCCAAGGAGAGAGAGAAAACACAAGCAACACAACAGCAAAAUCAAAACCACACAUCAAAUGAAAAUAUUAUUGUAGAAGAUGAAGCUAGACCCCGAAAGGAAGAGGCAAAUCACAGUUCACAAACACCAAAUAAUAAAUAGCCAUUGUUGGAUGAAGUAAUUAUGAUUGAGGCACCUAAAGGUAAAAAUGCCGGGGGAACAAAAAAAUGGAGGUGCAAACAUUGCAACAAGUCAUUCAGCAGCUCGUAUACAAGAAUCCAUCAUCACAGCCUAUAAGCAGCUCAUCUGCUGAGAGAAUAUGGAGCACUUACUCCUAUAUUCACAAUGUUAAAAGAAACAAACUUAAUUUUGUGCGAGCUAAUAAACUGGUGUAUGUUCAUAGUAAUAUUAGAUUGAUCUCGCGCUUCACAAAGAGUUAUAAUGACGGACCAUAUAGGAAGUGGGAUAUCGAUCCUGAGACAUCUGAUUUAGAAGAUUCAGCUGCUAAAUUAGAGGAAUUGAGGUCCAUGGAAGGACUUGAAAAUGAAAACACCAUACCAACGUCUAUAAGGCAGAGAUUUCCGGACUCGUAAUGACCUGGUAAAUUAGCAAACUGUGUCACUGUACGGCAUGUCCUGAUGGGUUUUUUAUUAUGCUUAUGUAUGCUUUUAAGUUUAAAGUUUAAACUAUGAACUUCUGAAGUCUUAAGGAUUAUUUAUUAAUAUAUUUAUAAGUCUGGAAUGUGGAUGUUUAGUUAGUACUUUACUUUUGAUAAUCUUCUGUAGUUCAGUAGCUUCCGGAACAUAAAAUUUGAUAUAAAAUAUAUGAUAGGUCGUACCCACACGUUCCUUCGUAAUCGUACCUACACGUUCCCUCGCACCCUUACGUUCCCUUGCACUGGAAACAUUCAUGCCAACGUUUUACGUAUCCGUUUCCGUACCAUGUUUCGCACCCCAUCCUAUGUAACAUUGCUCCGAGCGUUGUACCCGAAUCCUCAUAUUUUAUGAAAUUUGCCGAAUUUACGUAUGCUUGUACACUCUGCGCCCAUACCAAGGCUUCCUAGUUUAGAAUGUUGUUUUUGGUUCCUAGUUCUACGUAAGGGGUGAGCAAGAAAACGAAUUAAAACCGAAACCGCUAAAAAUCAACAAAAACCGAACCGUAAAAAACCGAACUGAAAAUUUAAAAACCGAACCGAUUAUAAUGGUUGCGGUUUCAGUUUUAGGUUAAAACUGAACCGCAAAAAACCGAACCCAGCCGAUUAUAUAUAUAUAUAUAUAUAUAUAUAUAUAUAUAUAUAUAUAUAUANUGCCUUAUACUCCCAUUUGCAUUACUUAUUAAAUAUAUAUAUAUAGAGUCGUGCUCCAGUGAGAACCAAUCUUAAGGUGAGAUAUGAGAUCUAAUCUCAACCACUCAUUUAAAUACAUUAUAUUCAUCUCUCACCAUUCAUUUAAUAUUUUAAUAUUUCACCAUCUUCUAAUUCAACUACCUAUCACCUUCAACCACCGCUGACCACCACCACCAGCUCCGGCGACCACUAGAAAAUCACCGCCGGCAAACAUAAAAUCACCAACGAAAAACAUAAAAUCACCACCGGAAAACUAAAAAUCACCGCCAAAAAACCAAAAAUCAACGCCAGAAAAUUAAAAUCACCACAUCACCACCAUCUACAAAACACCACCUCCACCCCAAAAUCCGAAAAAUCACCAAAUACAAAAUAAAAUCACCAUCGCAAAAUGAAAAACACCAUUGAACAACGAAAAUCACCGCACCCAACCACAUACAAUUGCAUCGUCGCUAACAUCUGUAGAGAAGGAAUAUGGCAGCGAUGUGAAAGAGAAGGGCGAGGGAUUGACCCCGGUGGUGCAGCAGCGGGACGCCGCCGCGUAGAGGAAAAAAAAUCCAUGGAGGCGGCGGUGUUCAGACCUGUGAAGGCGGUGGGGCUGACCUGGGGGGUUACGGUGUCGUCGGCGGUGACAACCGCAUUGCGACACCGGCAACAGCACCAAAGAAAGAGGGAGGAGGAAGAAAAGAUUGCAGCGGUUAGAGGUGGAGAGAGAGAUGAGCAGGUGGUGAGCCGCCGCGGUGCUGCGACGGAGUCACGAUGUGGGGAGAGAGAGAGCAUAUCUGGGCGGCUGUGCGUGAUGGUGGUGUUGGGUGGGUGGUGGGAGGUGAAUGGAAAAUAAUUUGCAGAUCGGAGUGGUGGUGGCAGCGGCCGGAGAGAGAGAUGAGCAGAUGACCGGCGGGGGCGACUGGGUGGUGGUCGGUGUGGCUGUGCGUCAUGGUGGCGGGUGGUGGUGUUGGUAGGUGGUGGGUGGGUGAGUGGUGAAUGAAAGAGAUGAAUAAUAAAACAAGGGAAAUGUGUGGUUGUGAUUUAAUUUAGGGAUAAAAAUGUGGGGCUGAGAUUAGAUCUCAUAUCUCACAUUAGUUGUGGUUCUCAUUUGAGCACUUGCCUAUAUAUAUAUAUAUAUUUAAUUUAAGAAAAAUAGUAAUACAUAUGAAUACAUUAAUAUCAACUUCAUGUACAAACUGAAUUUAUCUAAGAUCCCCCGAUAUUCGGUUGUUGAAACUUUGAGAUUUCCUCGAGCUAAAAAAUUUGUGCAAUGAUGCAUACAAUUAAUUAAGAAAUCUUAAAAACUUAGAAUAUUAUUAGAAGCAGCAUAUCAAUAUUUCUGAAAGUAAAUGAAAAAUAUAUGUUUGAAAUACUAGAAAGUAUACACAAGUAAUGAAGUGGAACAUAUUUAGAAUUUGUAAGGAAUUGAUAAUUAUGGACUGAAACAGAAUGCAUGAUCACUUUUAUGUCAGGAGGGCUAUCCAUUUUUUUAAUAGAGGUUCUUCAUGAGCCUGUUUGAAAGAUUUAGUUCCGUAAACAUAAACGGGAAACUAAUUAUUUUAAUAACAUUUAUUUAUUCAGUUUGGAAGUAUGUUUCUUUUUUUUUUGUUUCUUGCGUUUUUAAAACCGAAACCGAACCGACGGGAACCGAUCUGAGGUUUUUGAAACCGAAACCAAUCCGGCGGUUCGGUUUUGGUUUUCAAUAUUAAAAACCGAAGGUUUGCGGUUUCGGUUGCGGUUUUAUGCUAAAACCGCACCGAGCCGCAUUUUGCUCACCCCUAGUUCUAUGUUACAAAAAUACAAGAAUCAAAAUUAUAAAUACAGAAUGAUUACUUAAAUGCUUAUACAUAUACAAGAUGUACUUUUGGUAUAUGUGUAACAAUGUGUAUCAAGCUGAUAGACUACUUCUGCUAAUUAUAGUCAAAACAGAAAGUUGCGAGUCCAAACCAAAUUUAUAUAAUCGACUUUUCGAGUUAAAGCUAUCAAAACUAGACACGACACACAAAGCCGACAUGAUUUUGAAGGGUUAGGGUUGCUUUCGAUUGGUCGGGUCGAAAAGGGAAAUGUCGAUUACCCUGCAAAAAAAAAAAUCAGGUUACAGGUCAGCUCGUAUAACCCGAAAAUAACUUGGAUAAUCCCUUUAAUCACUAUUAAUAACAUGUAUAAUAUACUUAUAUAAUGAAUGAUUUUAUCAUUAAUAAUAUAAUUAUUUAAUAUAUUUUUUAAUUAUUUAUUUAUAUUUUGUAUACAGUGUUUGUAUUUUGUUAUAUGAACAACAUAUUUCACAAUGAUAUUUUAUGCUUCAUGCUACAUACUAUAGUCUAUAAAAGAUUUUUUUCGCAGGGGUGUACUUUCUUGUACAAGAAGAAGAAUACAAUUUCAGAUGAAAAUACUUUUCAUCAAAUAAAGCUUAUCAUCUAACUGAAAACAUGCAAAAUGUUCCGACAAUAGAACUUUAUUACCAUCUGAAAAGAAGAUUCAAUCUGACUUGAAACAAAUGCUUAAAAUCUCGUACAAGUCACCUGAAAAUAGUAACACGCGAAACAAGGAGAAUAUGAGUCAAUAUAUAAAUAUCAUAAAAGUAAUAAAGGAUGUGUAUUUUGUAAUAAAUACGAGUGUGUGUAUUUAAUAAAAAGAAAUAUAAAUAUAAUCAGUGGCGGAACCAGAAGGGGGCUAGGGGAGCCCCCCUGAACUUGAAAAGAGAGCGUAUAUUUUUUUUAGCCCCGCUGAAUUAUAUAAUGAAGUCCAACGAAGGAAGAUCUUUGGUUAGACACUAAAAUAAAAUAAUAUAUAUAGGACUACCAUAAAACAUAAACAAGGCUACAAAGUGGUACUUAAUUGCCUCUAACAAGCUAAAAAUAUACGCCAUCAAUUAUGGCCACCCAUAAAUGGUACAAAAAUAGAUAUAUAAUAUGGCAAUUACUAAUAGGAGAUAAUUUCGAAUUUCAAAUGAUUAAAAUUUAAUGAGUCAAUCCCUAUUUAAGGAUAUAACGCAUGACCCAUUCCAUUUUACAAAAUUUGAAUGUAAAUUAUGCCUAAAUUUAAAUAACAUCACCACCGUAUACCUUUGUUGAACCACCGCCGCCUGACCAUUAUCACUUAUUUCGUAAUAAACAACACCCUAAUGCCUAGAAACAAAACAUAGAACUAGACAUAGUAGUAUAACAAAAUAUCUUUAAUAUUCACAACAUAUGUUCGACAAAACAUGUAUAAUAUAAAUCAGACGUAACGACCUUCAUUAUCAACAAGGCAUCAGAAGCACACAAGUUGUUCGAUAAUAUGCAUAAUUGACCCAUUCUCAAGAAUAACCAUAACAAUGCAUACAUACAGUUAAUAUGCAAUAACAUAAAUGGGGAAAAUGAUACUACAGAGAUAAAUAAGUACAAGGGGAUAUGCAAUAUAUAUAGGGCAUUGCUCAAAGAAAUGUUAUGAUGGUGUUCUUUGUUGUUCUUUUUUUAAAGUGUUCUGUGUGGAGUGCAACCCAUAUAUAUAUAUAUAUAUAUAUAUAUAUAUAUAUAGAGAGAGAGAGAGAGAGAGAGAGAGAGAGAGAGUGUUAAGUUCAAUGAAGUAUACAAAAACAUUGGAGUAUUGGAAUCCAAGUUACAAUUUUUUAGUUUAAUCAAAAAUAAUAUCUUUCAUUAUCCAAAUUUUUAUGUAAUUUAUCAUUUAUAAGUUGUCUUAAACAAAAUUAUCAAUCAAUCAAUAAUAUUUUUCAACUUUUACAAGUAUUAAGAUUCAUGUUCUGCUUAUUAGUUAUAUUGCAGAACAUAAUGUUCUCUGAUUUAUAAAAGUAAUUGUUCUAUGUUUUGAUUACAAUGUUUAUAUUGUAGAACAAAAUCUACAUGUUGUCGAAUAUUUACAAAUAUUGUAGGACAAAAAAAAUAAAAUUCAGAUGACUAGAUUAUAUCUUUUUUUAAUUUUCUACUCCAAUACUUCAAUGUUUAUGUCUACUCCAUAAAACUUAACUCUCUCUCUCUAUAUAUAUAUAUAUAUAGGCAACUGAUCAAAUAGAAACCAAUGUUAUUCUAGAAACUAGAAACCAUUCCUUGAAUCACUGUUUAUAACGACAUACAUCACUAGUUUCUAUGCUGUUAAUCACUAUUUUAUACAGUAUAUUCAUCAGUUUUUAUUUUUAAUAAUUGAGAAAAUUUACUUAUGAUUGACAUUGGUGGUCGAUUAUUGAUGAUCAAUUAUAGUUGUAGAAGGUCUAUGAUGGUAUCAAAUGACGGGAUGAGGUGUGUGGUGAUGGUAGAUAGUCAUUAGUAGGGGCAAGUUAUGAUGACAAACGGUGAUAGGCAAAUCAUGGUUGUAAGUGAAGGCGGCAGUAGUGGAAGGGGUUGGUAAUGAUGCCGGGAGUUUCAUCAAUGUAGUAUGAUUGAAGAUGAUGAUAAUAUACGUUGUAUAUAUCUGUAUUUAUAUAUCUAUAUUUGUCAGAUUUUGUAUAUAUAAAUUAAUGAUUUCUGAUAUACAAAUCAGUGAUUGUUGUAAUUAAGAACAGUGAUGAAAAAUUGGUCAGGGACUAGUUUUUAGUUUCUAGGCUAAUUUAGUUUCUAGUGGAGUAAGCCCAUAUAUAUAUAUAUAUAUAUAUAUAUAUAUAUAAGAAAUAAUGUAGUAAUGCUCAUACAUCUAAACAUACCAAGAGAGAGCCCGAGAUCAAUGACGAUGAUGCCAUGACGACUGUCAUCUUCCGACACUCCAGAUCAUUGUUGGCGUCAGAAUCGGCACCAUACAACAAAUGUUAUAAAUUGGAGAGAAUGUAUAACGACGAUGAUGAUGACAAAGGCUAUAUCAAGAUCGCGAGGGAGAGGGAGAUCACAAUAAGAAUUUGGCUAAUAUGAGUUCUCUGGGAUACCCUUUAAUAUAAAGAAAAUUAAUUAUAUCGUUUCAAAAAUAUUAAUUAUACGAUUAAAUAUGCCGCCCAACUCUUAAAAUUAUGUAGUGAUCAGAAUAAACUAUGUCACUUACUGGAUAAAUGGGUUAGCUGGUCGGGUCGGGUUGACCUGUUUAAUUAGCAUGUCGGAUCACAGUCAGAAAAAAAAAACAAGAAUUAGCUCUCGGAAUACACUUUGUACAAUGUCGACAGAGAAACAAACCAUAUAUGUCCAAAUGUCUACACAUAGAUAAAUAAAUAAAACAUAUAUGUUCAAGAGCCUACAAUGAAUUUGUGUCGGUAUACAAAGACACGAUUAAAUCUGUAUAUACAUACACCCACACAUAAACUCUUUUCUAAUAUUUAAGAUACGACCGACGCGAACUCAACCCGUGACCUAAAAUCGACAGCCCUAGUGAAAGUAGUUAUUGGAGGGACUAUUAAUAAUAAAUAAAAAUUAUAAUAAUAAACACUUGAUAUUUGUUCUGUUUUUGAUUUAAACAAAAAAUAUAAUAUGUUAUAAAUUAGUCGGGGAAAGUAAUCUAAUAUUCAAUACUUGGCAAUCACAACAAUUAUAGAAUAUAUUUAUUUUACUUUUGUUUUUCACAUAAUAAAAGAAGUCUAAAAUUCAAUGUUUACCAACUAAAUAAAACUUAAUUCCUAUUCAUUCUUAUAAGAAAAACAUCCACCACAUAAUAUAUAUAUAUAUAUAUCUAUUAUAUUUCACGUAUUGGCAAAAUUAUAUAUGGUUAAUGAUACAUAUGCUCUAAUGAAUAUUAAAAAACCUAAUACUAUAACAAUCAAAUAUUGAAUUACUUAUUAUAAAAAAUUGUGCAUUACAUUCAAAAAAGAUAUUAGUACAUGUAUAAUUUUUGGUUAAAAGGUAUCUGUAAAAAACUCAAAUAAUUAGUAAUAAAUUAUAGACUAUAUGUGCAUCGAACUGGUUAUAAACUAGUUAAUUAGUAAUAAACUAUAAUAUGUCUUGCAUCCUUUAUUUUGACAAGUUAGUUUUAUUCUUUCAUAGUUACAUAGAGUAUUUAUAAUAGGGCAAGGGGAAUUGAGGAUCCAAACCCGUAAGCCUGUCAUUGAAAAGGAUAAACACCUUUACCAGUAAUCUCCCCCUUGAUUCUAAUUUGUUUCAUAAUUGAUUGUUGGAAUCUUGUGAUUUGACUAGAGAAGUCAAAAGUAUGUUGAGCUGGUCCGUCGUUUUUUUUCUCUUAGAAAAAUUAAAGAUGGCUGCAUCUGCUCUGUGAAAUUAUAUAAUGUCUGAUCCAGGAACACUCCCAAAGUGUUUCAAAGAGGGGUUCUUGACAUAGGUCUGCCUAGAUUAAUCUAAUUUGGUCAGUAUAGCUGUAUAUCUGUUAUUGUUUGGUCAUCAGAUGGUUUCUUUAGUCUUAGACAUUGAUACCCCUGAGCUCUUGUUUAGGUGUGAUGAGUUACCUGGAGUUUCUAUCUAAUUUGGUAAGCUAACUGUUUGCUGGAUUCCAGUGUAUAUUCUUAAGUAGUGACUGCAUGCAUAGAGAUUUCACUGCUUUAGGUGUUGUAACUGCAACAUAUAACUACAAGCUGCACAGUUUAUUAAGAAAAUAUGAAACCAGAAUUUUGAAGGUCAAAUAUGUAAAGAAAUAUGAUAUGGUUCAUUAGAUGAACUUUUAUAUUGUUUUCUUCGCUGGUCUAUAAGGAAUGACCCUAGUAACCAGCCGGUUCAGGUCUACUGUAUAUGUUCUGUGUUUGAAGUUGAUUGGUACUUUCAUUGAGCAGCCAUUUUAUGUUGAUCUGUCCUGCUUAUCUGUUUUCUGAUGUGUAAUCCUUUCAGAAAUAGAAACAAACGAGUGUCUAGAAAACAAUGGUGGAUGCUGGCAGGAUAAAGCGGCUAAUAUUAGUAUAUUACAGCAUGCAAGGUGAUUGAGAUUCUUCUGUAUACCUUUAAAAAGUUUUAUCUUUUAUAAUUUACAUAUGAUCUUGCUGUAGGAUACAUUUUGUGGACGGGUAUGUUAAUGCCCAAUCGUGCAGGGAGUAAAAUUUUCUGGUGAUGGUUAUACUCACUGUGAAGGUCAGAGUUGAUUAAUAAAAAAAAAUAUCUGCCUUAAUACUCUUUUGUAAAAAAUGUGAUGCUUGGCAGGCCUUUAAACUCUGCGCCUCAUAUUUACCCGUUAUUUUGACAGCUUCUGGAUCUUUACGCUGUGAGAUUAACAAUGGAGGUUGUUGGACGAAAACCCAGAAUGGCAGGACUUAUUCUGCUUGCAUUGUGAGUAAUCUUUAUGACUUCUCACUUCUCGCAACUGGUGCAUAUCCCAUUUCAUUUAUUUAUGUCAUUUUUUCGGUAUGAAAUUGACAAUUAGGUAAAUGAUUUGUACACUCGGUUGCAACUUGCAAGGGUUUUGGACCUUAAGUACGAUCUCAUAGGGCAGAUUAAGUGCAUAAGUGCAAAGCAUCCAAUGUUAUGAUAUCAUACUUAGAACCAGGAGCUGUUUAAAUAUCAAUUGACAGUAUGUACAGGAAAGAAGUGAUGAAAAAGGUGGCAGUGGGUUGAACUUGGAACAAAGAUAAAGAAUAGAAGUAUUAUAGCAAAAUAGAGAAGAAAAAGGGUAAGAAGAGAAGACGUUAAAAUACAAAGGUAUGAGACAAAGCGAAAGAGUUAAACAAGAGAUGAGGGACACACUCAACUACUUAAGAAGGUGGAUAAUUGGACAUAGAUUAAGUGACCCUGUCAUAUUGGAAAAGUUUGGAAAAGUGAACUACAAUCGAGAAAUAUAGCACUUCAGCUUUAUUUAUGAAGUCUCUAAUGUGGCUUCGCACAGUUAUGCCCUGCAUGUUAGAUUUUCAGGCCUUGCCUUAAACGACAGGAUCGUUUUUGUGAAAAUUACAAGUUUCAUCCCAAAUAUAGUUAGCCCUGCCUUGUAUUGCUGUCAUAAUGAUGACAGUCAAUACUAAUUUAUUUAUUACUGUCCAUAGUUUUUAUUCUACAAAAGAUAUUCAAUUAUAUCAUGGUUUUUUUCCUCUUCAAUCAGAUAUAUUAUAUGAUUUUUUUCAGGACGACCAUACCAAAGGUUGCAAGUGUCCACCAGGGUUCAAGGGUGACAGAGUUAAUAAUUGUGAAGGUGCAUUAUGGUUCUUUUCUUGUUAAUGUUGAGUCUUUAGGCAAUUAUCUCCGUUCCUUAGUUAAUAUCUAUUGACCAUAUUCUGGAAUUGCUUUUAAAAUUUAAGUCCUAUUAAGAUUUUAAAGAGCAUCCCCAGAAAGCUGUGUAAGCAUACAGCAGAUAGUUUAAACAUUUCUACUAAAUUGUUUGCAUCUUUAACCUAAAUCAACUCUGUGAGCCUGUGGUAUGGAUCUUGGGAGUCUGUUUCAUGCAAACUACUAACACUAGUGUAAGAUUGUCCGCUGACAAAUUGUUUUUUAUGAUUCCAUUUAAACUGUAUGUCAACUGCUCUUUUGAUAUUCAUCUGGGUCUUGGUAGUAUGUUGGCAAUGUACGAGUUUCUCUGGAUAACCUUGAUACAAAGUAUAAGCAUAUUUGCAAACUUGGUAUAUAUUUUUUAAGUAUAUGUUUUUUUACUUAAUUCAAAGUUCUCUAGUUUUUACAUUUGUACUUCAGACUCUAUAAUCUGUAUGAUGUAUAAUAUACCAUGAAAGUACAAUUAAAAGUUUUGUGUGCAUCUGCCGUAAGGUUUCCUCAUCUAACCUAAUUUUUAAGAAUCGUAAUGGAUCAAUUUGAAUGUUGAAGUCUUAGAAAUCUGAUUCUUCUCAUAUAUAUAUAUAUAUAUAUAUAUAUGAUUUAUGCCAGAUAUUGAUGAAUGCAAAGCAAAAACAGCAUGUCAAUGCCCGGAAUUGCAAAUGCAAGAAUACCUGGGGUAGUUAUGACUGCAGCUGCAGUGGAAAUUUAUUGUACAUGCGUGAACAUGAUACCUGAAUAAGUGAGUAUUGAACUUUAAUAUGUGAUUCUAGUUAAACUAAACUAUCACCAUUUGAUCUAUUAAUUUGUUUGCUGGACGAAAUUUAUGCAAUCGUGCCUGCCUCGUUUGUUUAUUUUUUUAUUAUAAAUUCUUUGAUGACUUGAACUCAAGUGUUUUAUAUGCAGUAGUGUUAUUCUGUAAUUGCGCCCUUCUUCUAACACCUAAGGGUUUUAGGAGUGUUAGUAACUUAACGAGUAGUCUCCUUUGCUUUAACUGAGUUGUUACAAGCGCAAGGUAAGAAUUUAUGCAUGGACUGCCAAAUUUCUAAUAGUCUAGAAUUUUGUCGGAUGGAGUUUUGACAGUUAUGCUUUCAUCAAUUACGUAUAGGAAAGAAAAGAAUAAAGAAACUAAAGAAAUGUAAAAGCUUCCAUUGAAUUUUAUUUUGCAGCUAAAAGCAUUGAGUUAUUGACCAGAGUUGUUUGGUAUAGAAUACACUUUACAGUAGUUUGUAUAUAUUGAUUCUAAGUUGUGAAGAAAUCACAUUAUUAUCUACUACUUCUAAGAUUAUUGAUAGGCCUAUUCAGGUAAGGAUGUUAGUGCUGAGGUCAGCUGGGGCUUUGUUUGGGUUAUCUUUCUUGGUUUGGCUGAGGGUGGAGUCGGAGGAUAUGCAGUGUACAAGUACAGGAUUCGGGUCAGCCCUGAAUUUUCUUACUGCUGUGCUGUUUUAGUGUUCCAUCUAUAUCAGCUUAUAUAUGGAAUUCGGGGGUUCAUGUCAGAAAUAGAGAAAUAGGAGUCUAUAUAGUUGCAUAUUAUAAGCAUCACUGCACAUAUCAUAAGCACUACAGUUUGCCUUUGGAAGAACAUAUUUGUAAUAUAGUCACUUACCCUUUAAUAUCUUGUAAAAUGUGCAGAGAUUCGUGCAAUUAUGGCACAGUAUAUGCCCUUGGAUAACCAGCCAGAAGAUCUCGUUCAUCAUUCACAUGGGAGCGUCUAAGCGUGGAACAUUUCGUGAGGAAUGAACUUGGACGUUAGUAUUAGAUUAUCCUAGACUCCUAUUGCAGUCUGGCUUUGUAUUUGUUUAUCAUGGUGUAGUAGCUCCUGUACCUGACACUGGAUCACCUAAAUGACUUGGUUUUGAUGUGUACAAAAAUCGUUGUAUGACUUGUAGUUAUGUACAUUAUUACAACUUGUUUGCUGCAGACUGGAAUUUCGUUUUGGCGUUGAUGCUCUCAUAAUUUUGGAUAAAUAAUUGUGCUUGCACUAUCACACUACUACACCUUCUUUUCGGCAAAGAAGCGAGGCAGAGACUGCUAGAGUCUCUAGAUUGAACACUUGAACAAGACCAAUUGAACACAAUGGCUAGCAUGAUUCAAUAUAUUUGGCGCAAGUCAAAUGUCACUUAAUUUCUCAUCUCCAGAUAACUCACAAAUCUUAACUUGGCUUUUUGUCUGUUUCUGAAAUCUCAGGGAAGAAUACAUUAUUAUUAUGUCAACCUUCAUUAAUACUUACUCCUUUAUUUUAAAAUAUAGGCCGUUUGACUUUUUUGCACGUACUUUUAAGUCUUUUGACCGCAUGUUUAAAAUCAUUAUUUUUGAAAUUUUCAUUUUCUGAAUAAUAAUAUCAAUCAUAUUCUUUUAUUCAAAAAAAAUCAAAAAUAAUGAUUUUAAACAUGCGGUUAAAGACUUAAAAGUACGUGCAAAAAAGUCUAAGCGAACAGAAGGAGUAUAUUCUGGUCCUCGUCUCCCUGAUAUGUUGUUGUCACUUGUUACGCUUCCUCUGUGCAAGUACAUCUGCAAAGAGAUUAUUCAAAGUUUUAAUACAGCUGUCGAGAAAAAGUGGAAGAGAGAAUUAGCAAAAAUAAAUGGAAGAGAGAGAGAUAUGAGCAGAUAGAAACAUAAAUCUACGGCAGGAGGUAGAACAAAAGGGGUAUUGAGGCAGCCUGUCCUGUCUCUCACAUUUAAUAUUCAUACUUAUAAUAAAAUUAAAUGUAAAUUAUAAGUUAAUAAACGUGUUUGGUUUAAUAUAAUUCUUAUCGAAUAUAUCAAACAAGUUCUUAAUUAAACCAGUCAAAAAUUUAUUUGAAAAUUGGUCCAAGUAGACAUUGUUUCAAAGAAAAUAUUUAAUUAUGUUUUAGUUAUAAUAAUAAAAAUUUAUUAAAAUAUGUCUGAAAGUUCUAUAUUUGUCGGUGUUUGGACCUACCAGACUUUUUGAUUUAUAACAUGUUUUAAGAAUCUUUUCACUACAAUUAAAACCUAUUUAAACAUUUUUUUUGAAACAAUGUCUAUUUGGACCAAUUUUUAAUUAGUUUUUUGCCUGGCUUAGUUAAGAACUUAUUUAACAUAUCCAAUAAAAAAUGUUAACUCAAACACAUUUAUUAAUUAUUUUAAAUUUUUAAUUUAAUCAAAAAAAAUUAUUUUAAUUUAGAAAUAUAUAUUAAAAUUCUAACAUAAUUUUAUUUUUAAUAAUAAAAUCAAUAUUAUAAUAUAUAUAUAUAUAUAUAUAUAUAUAUAUAUAAUAAAAUACAAACAUAAUAUAAGCUAGUCGAUUAUUGCCUGUAUACCAAUUCCCUAAUUAAUUAAUGAAUCGAUUGUUUUUAAUAUUUCGCUUUCAAUAGUGUAAACAUAUUUUAAUUAUAAUAAAAUAAAAUGACACGUGUCAAUUGGUCUGAAUGAACAAUGUUUUUGAUAUUAUACUUUAAAUUAUAAUUAGAUUAUAUUCCAUGUGAUUUCAUUAAUUUUUAUAUUAAAUUUUGUUUUACAUUUAAUUUUAUUAUUUGUAUGAAUUGGUGUAUUUAAAUUAAUUUAUUUAAUAUAAAUUUUUAAUAACUAGAUUCGUUUGCUUAAAAACAAAUAGGCUCAAAAGAUGUUUUUAAGCUAUAAUAUAUUUAAGAAAAAUAAUUCAUUCGACAAGUUGUUACAUGGAAUAUAUAUAGUCUGCUGGGUUUCAAAUGGGUCCUCAGGGCCAGCACAGCAGGAACCAGAGAUCCAGGAUUUUGUGUACGAUCUUGAUGUUGAAGAGGGGGCUGUGGUUAUGCAGGCCUAAGAAAAACAUGCCGGGAAUGGUAACCCAAGGGGUGAGAAGGUAUGAUUUAUCCACCUAAAAGGUUUGGGUUCCCAUUCCAUUCUAUAGCACCAAUUAACUAAUCCAAACGCUUGUUAUCAGAUUAAGGUUUCGGUUCCCGGGCUCACCCCCUAUAUUGAUAAGCUAGAGAUAGCUCAAGCACUGCUCAUAAAUGACGGCAGAAGUUAUCAUGAAGUUAUGGCGUCAAACUCAAGCUAAUUACGGAGAUACACAAGGUGCAUGAUUUUGUAAACCACAACAUGCUAGAUAUAGUAAAAUAGAGAUAUGUUAAAGUAUACACAGAUGACCUCAUGUUGUACAGUAAUGAUGAUGACCUAGAUUAAGUAGGGUUUCUUAUUUGCACUAAAAGAGCUUCUUUCUCUUACAUUGUUUCUCAGCUUCAUCAGUUAUAUAAAGAUACACAAAAUGCAUAUGAGUGUAAGUAGAUGUUCAGUCUGCAUUUACUCGUUAUAUUUUUAUCGUAUCUUGGAGUUAAAUGCAUUUAACUCGGUGCCGAGAGUUAGGUUGGCCACUAAAUUCCUACUCAUUUUGAUUGAUAAUUCUUUUCGAAUAUUUUCUUCUCCGGGAAAGAGAAAUGGAUGAAGAUUCAAAAUCACACAUGGAACGCCGUAUGAAUAGUUAUAUGCAAAGCAGAGAAGAUCAAGUAUUUCACAGAAGGACUCGAUUUGCACUGGACAUGGAUGGGAACAUGAUAUUUGAUGACGAUGGAUAUAUGCGUCACCAAAACGAAGAAAUUUUUCAUGCAAACUGCCGAGUAUUAUAAAUUUAUAAGGUUGAUGGGGAGGAGAUAACUCUGUGUAAUCAAGUUAAUUACACAGAGGAGUCAGAUCAUCUCACCGUUUUAUACUCCAAGGUACGAAAUUUAUUAUUGUUAGCCUGUGUAAGAAAUUCUGGAACCCAGUUUGAUUUCAAUAUGAAGCAAAAAAAGCACAACUUGUUCUUUGAUUUUUGCCGUUGAUGAGCAUGUUCUUGGCUCCAUUUUUCACUUUCAAAAGCUGAAAUUCUUAAAUAUAUUCUUUAGCUGGGGUAUUAAAAUUAUAAAUGAAAAAUAAUGCACCUAUACUUUUUAUGGCCCAGGUGAUUUGCAGUUGCAGACUCUGAGUUUUCAUUUUUAGUUCAAGUAUCAUAUAAUAUUACAAGAUAAUAUAAAAUCUCAUACACUAAUAUUUUUUAACCCCUGACCCAAUGCAGGUAGAGAUCUCAGAUUCACCCGUACAGGACAUCUAUAACUUUUUUUCUCAGGCUGGAAAGGUUAGUUGUUAUAGAGUUAAUUCGGUCCUUUUAAAUAAAUUUAUAUGCCGAUAUUAAAUUUUAUGAAUCUUUUUUCUACAUAAAAAAAAAUCUUCUUCACAUGUAUUGCCUUUACAGAUCAAAACUAUCAAGAUUAUGAAAGAUGAGAUUCAGAAGAAAUUAUCAGCGUAUGUUAUCGUUGUUGUUAGUGCUUUUAUGCAUAUUUAUUCAAUUUUAGACGGUUUAUUUAGGAGUUGAUAUAAUAAUUUAGUGUCACAUUCAAGCACAAAAUUUUCAUAAUUCUUCUGCUGACACCUAAACCUAUUAUUAAGAGAGUUUUGACGGUCGUUACAGUUAUUCCCCUUACUGAAUUUUAAUUUUGCUCUUCUUAAUGUUUGUUUUUUCUUCUAAUUUGUUAAUAUUUCAUUGAAUAUGAGUGUAAUCAUCAAAAAAUGAUCUAUACACUAUAAUAUGAGAUACCAAUAUAAGCAGAUGCAAGAUCGGAGCUAGAAUUCAAAUUCAUGAUGGAUCAAAAAUAAACUUCAUUUUAAAUAUGACCAUACCAAGAUUCUUCGAAAAUUACAUUAGGCAAUACUAGUCACUAAUUAUUAAUAAGCAAAUAAAUAUUUCAUUUAGUAAUUACUGUUUUUGUUUACAUGUUCCCUAAUAUUGUGUUGGGUCAAAUGUCUUAAAAACAUUUAACGGGAAUCAGACUUAAAUAAUAAAAUUACGGAACAAAGAUUAAUCAUGAAUUAAUUGAAUUGAUCAGAAAAUAAUCAGAUUGAUCGGGGAUUAAUCACCGAAUUUUAGAACAGAGGUUAGGGUGAUAAAAUGAAAUCGAAUAAAAUGCUUAAAAAUAAAACAAAAUAUUAUAAAUAAAAAGAAUUUUUUGAUAAAAAGCGAUGAAGAUAAAAUUACUAUUAUGAGAUUUGAGAAUAAAUUGACAAGAGGGAGAAAAUGAGCGUGACUUCUAGCGACCAAAUUUAUCUUGAGAUUAUUCCAAAGCGUGAAUGGAUUUUUGAUAGUGAGAUAUUCCAGAUGUGAUGCAUAAGAAAUGUUAUUGCUCUAACAUUUUUUUUAGUAGUGGGGAUUUUUUUUGAGUCUUAAACCUUUAAAUUGUUAGCACGCUAAGAUGUAAUUCACAUCAAGGAGACAAGAACCCAAGAUAGAUAAUUAUACCCAGAAAACAUCCAAAGCAAAAAACUCUAAUUUUAUGAGGUUCGUCAUUCUGAAUGUAAAAUAAAUAUUUAAAACAUGACAUAUCAAUAUUUCGAGUUAAUACACAAACAAUUAAAUAUCUACACAAUAAGAAAAACUAAAACUAAAAAAUUUUAACGGCAUAGCCGUCAUUGUUGACCAAUCAAGCAAUGAUAACUUUAUAAGGAAUGAAAAUGAGAUAAUAAAAAAAAAAUGAAAAUGAGUAGAGUUAGAUCGUAUCUUAUAUGCUAGUCAAUCUUAAAAAAAGACUUGUGCUUAUAUUGCUAUGUAAGGCUCGGUUAGAGUCUCGUGUUCAUAACGUGUUGUAAAUUUUUAAUUAUUUAUUAUAUAUAAAAAAUAAAAGAUAUAGAUAAAAGAGUAAGAAAGAGACUACAGAGAGUGAAUUGUUCUUUGAUAGUGAUUUUGAUAUCUCAUGCAACUCUUCUAUUUAUAGAGGUGAUUUUGAUAAACAUGCAAGAUUUAUUAAUCUAUAGCUAGUUUAGAAGUGCAUAACCUAAUACUUAAGUAAUUUCUGAAUAGGUACAUAGUUUAAUAUUGAAAUAUUCUUAAAAUACGUGCAUAGUUUAAUACUUAAGUAUCUCGAAAUGCGUACAUAACUUCUUUAAUAAUCUAUCACUUGUAUAUAUCCAAACAAUAUCAAUAUUUCGAGUUAAUACAUAAACAAAUAAAUAUCUAUACAUUAUGAAAAGCAAAAACUAAUCUAGCCGCAUGACAUCAAUAUUUAAACAAUCAAGCAAUAAUCACUUUACAAGUAAUGAUAAUGAGUGGAGUUAGAUGGUACCUUAUAUGCUUAGUAAAUCUCAAAGAAAGGCUCGUGCUUAUAUGCUAUGUAAAGCUCGGUUAGAGUCCCGUGUCGUAAGUCUUCAAUUAUUUAUUAUAUGUGAAAGAAUAAAAGAUACAAAUAAAAGAAAAAAGAGUAAUAAAGAGAAUAGAGAGAGAAUGAAUUGUUUUGUGAUAGUGAUUUUGAUAUCUCCGCUCUAUUGUUAAUAAACUAAGAAUUAGGAAAACAAAAUAGAUCAUAUAUCUAUGACAACUUAGAAUAAUAAAAUAUAAUAUACUAAAAUUUAAAUGCUAAUAAUUAUUAAUAUUAUAUUUUUUUGUGAAGGAUGAAUAUGAAACUAGUGUACGAAACCUCUACAAAACACCGACAUGCGACUUAAAUAAUAUUUUAUUUACUUAUUUAUAAUAUUUGAAUUUGAAUUAUAUAAUUAUUUAAAAAGUGAUUUAAGCGCACGAUUGAAGAUGCUCUAAGAAUUUAACUUUUAGUUGUCUGAGUCAUUAUUUUUAGAUAAUAUGCCGGCCCCAUAAUAUAUUAGCACAUGUUUUUUUUUUUGAUAAAUUAAUGAAAUGUUUUUGUAUCGGAUUUUUUUUUGUGUUUGACUUUUGCAUGGGUUAAUCAUGCAAAUCUUUUUUCAUCUUUGAUUAUGAACUGAUAAUUACUUUUACAGGGAGAUUGAGUUCGAGUGUUUCAAAUCACUUGCAGUAGCCAUGGCAAUUGCGGUGAAAAAUAAGUAUAUGAAUGUAUGUACAAAGGAAAGUAUUCAUGUUGGUAGCUUUCCUUUAGAAGAAAUUGAAGUCAGCGAAGGAGGUGAUAUGUCAAUUAAAGAUGUAUUCAAUCAAAAAAUAUAUAUUGGCUUUUCUCACAUUCCUAUGACCGUCAAUUGGUUGAAAAAGGUAAACUUUGAUUUUUUACGUCGGGUUAAAAAGUCAAACAUCAAUUAAAAUCGGACGGAGGAAGUACGAUUCAUUUCCGGUGUCGCAUAAAUGUAAACUAUUUUCUGUUUUAUGUGCAGAUAUUUGAGGUGUUCGGUGUUGUGCAAAAACUCAUGAUACCACGCCCCCACAAACUUUCGCACUUGGGAUAUGCAAUCCUGCAAGUGAGAUUAUUUUCUUUUACUCGACAUGAAUAGUAUUAGUAACUCUCUUUAGACUAGCCCCUCUGCCCAACUAAUAAGAUUUUUUUUUAUUUUUCUGGUAGUUCGAUAGUGCAGAAGGUGUGCGAGCUGCUCUCCGUUUGGACAAGCAACUGGAGUUUAUUUAUCAGAACGUAACGGUAACACAGUAACAGUAAAAUUGCUCUCCUUUUUUAAAGCAGUGUACAGAAUUGUUUUUCUAAGAAAUUAAGGUUGUAUCUUAUAGGUAGAGAUGCAAGUUACUGCACUUGAUGGAACAGAAUUGAGUCAUGACGGGGAAACAUAUACUACAUGUAAGGAUCCCGUGGAAGAUGAUGGUUCUUUGUAAAUGCAGACUCUUCGAAUAUAAGGAUCUCGUGGAAGAUGAUGGUUCUUUGUAAUGCAGACUCUUCGAAUAUAAGGAUCUCGUGGAAGAUGAUGGUUCUUUGUAAUGCAGACUCUUCGAAUAUAAUGGCAUUGGCUAUGAAAAAGUGUAACUGCAUCAUUUUUUAUGACAUUAGUAUAUAUGUUGCCGUGAAUAGCAACAGAUUAACUGAUUGCAUUUAGUUUUAGCCUUAUUAAGAGAUUAUGAGACUUUUUUCUAGAACUAUCGUCUUCCCCUGGUGUUUUUGUUUGACAAUCCCAGAAAGGGAGACAAUAUAUGCCAAUCAAAUUAAAAUUCAUGCAUCGGACUCAUUAGUCAAAAUACAAUUUACACAGUAAAUUGGCAAAGAAAUCGUACAAAUCUUCCAAAAAUAAAAAUAUCAGCGAUCAGCACCAGGCAUUUGUAGCUCUUGCCAACAGUUUUUGAAUUCUCAUGCACACAGCAAAGCAGAAGACCACCAAACUCAGUAAUUGUAGCCAAUUAGGAUUUACAUUUGUGCAGGUAAAGUCAGCCUCUCAGUUGGAUCAUAAAGACACACGUACAUCCCCUGCAAGAAUGGAGGAUUAACGACAAAUAAUUCACCGUGACUACAUUUUAAGCUUAAUGUUUUGUACUGUAUUGGAAAACCUGGGCAACAUCAUGCUAGUCUGGCAUUAGUCUAUAUGUAGAGCCAAGAAUGAGAGAUUACCCGGAUGGUCACUAAGAGCAGCCUUAUAUAGUUUCAUUAGCAUGCAUUACAUCAAGACCAAUGAACCAUGAUCCAACACUGACAUCAUCAUCUGCAUAUAAACAGAAGAUUGAUCCACAAAAAAAACUCUAUAUGUUAAUUUGCAACUUAUUUGCUCCACAACCUUUAACCACUAUAUCCCUUCAUUAACAAGACCGCGUAACUCACCCUUUUCUUCUUCUUUUUUUCUUUUGCCACAGGGUUAUGUAGAUCACUCAUAAGUUAUCACAACCAAAGUGAAAGAUGAUUUUUAUUAUCCUAGAGACUGAGAAACUAGAACUUCCAUGACCGCCUGUAUCAUUUCACAUAGGACAAAAGACUGAAAACUAGCACCCUACCUGUUAAUUACGAUAAAAUGAGCCAAUGCUCGUGGAAUUGCAUACAUCUCACUGGAGGCAUGCAAGAUAUUAGAAGGCUACAUUAAUAUAAUUCAGAAGAUUAAUCAUCAGCUUUAAGAGAAAAUAUCACGAUCAUACGUACUACUUCGAUCUUCGAGUCCUACCAUAAGCAAACUAAAGUAAAUAAUUAAUAAAAAUAUUUAAAAUUUACAUAAAAUUUAGUAGCGCAAGUUGGUUCACAUUAUAUAUAUAACCAGUAACUUUGACAUACAAUUUAUACAAAAAAUAAUUUUCCAGAAGGCGCAUUGACUUAUCCUCAUCCAAAAAGCCCAAAUAAAUUUCAAACUACAUACUUCCUUCCAAUUGUCUUGAACCCAAUCAUGAGUGGAAAUUUAACCGUCGGACCAGUUACUUACAUUGGCUGCACAUCGAUACAUCACUGAUAUGACCUAUUGAUCCAAAUACCCUAACUAUUCUUGUUUGUGCAAAAUAACAUACAAUUGCGAAAACUAUGGCUUAGAGUUCAAAUAAACUAUAUCGGGAACGAAGAGUAUAGCAACAGUAACAAUGAUCCACGUUUAAUCAUUAAUGUCUGCCUGUUAUAUUAGUAACUAUGACCGAAGUGGGCAUUAGAAAAAAAUUGUGAAAUGCUAAUAAAUACACAAGCACAGAUAUAAUCGACAUAGUUAUACUCAUGAUUCUGUAUGAUUUGCUUUGUUGCUAUGGAAUAUCUACACAUGAAAAUAACAUUGAGAUUACCUACUAGGUUGAAAUACCCUGAAUCAAACAGCCCUAUUGUAUUUAUAUUACAUCUUAGUAUAGUAUUAAGUAAUUUUUGUUAUGUAUUAUUAUAACCUUAUGAUACUUCCAUAUUUGUUAUGCUAGUCCUAAUUCUGAUUGACAAUUUUCGUGUAUCAUUAUAAUACCUAUCGAGUAGCUUUCAUUAAUAAUUGAUCCACUUUUGGAGUUGAUGCUGCAUAAAUCCUAUUCAACCAGCUGCAACAAUGUCAACAUUAAGGUAAGCUACAGCCCUUGAGGCUAGCCUUUCUCUAUUCUCAUUAACCUAUCAUAUUGAUCCUAUCUGAAAAAUGGUAACAACUUAAAUUAAGUGAAUUUAAUUGUGUGCAUCUCUAGUUUGUGUUCAGUGAAAUAGAGUUAGAAAAAGAGACCAAGCCAUACUCUUUUGCGUCCCAAUUAUAAAAGAUGAAGGUCAAUCUUGGUUUUCACCCCUUUUUCUGCAAAUUCCUUAGCCUAUCAGCAACACAAUUACAAAGAUGAUUGUCAAUCUUGGUUUUCACCCCUUUUUCUGCAACUUCCUUAGCCUAUCAACAACCUGAGUAAAGCAAGUAAUCAGGUGUGUCCGCAUGGGGAAUGUUAAUACUUUAACGUGGAGACCUUGAUCUAAGCAUACCUUUAUAAAAGAGCCUGCAUAAACCCUGCAUGACCUGAAGUAAAGCUGUUGUGCCGCUGUUGGGUCAACAGCUCCAAAAGUCCAAGCCUCCCGAUAAUUACCUUUCUACAAAAAAGCUUAAUCACUUUAAUAAAUCACUGUUAUUCUGUGGAUUUAAAUGUAUAUAUCCUUCCUUCACUAACACAUAUAAAUACUUGACUUUAAAAAAAAAACUGAUAAUAGCAUAGUGAAAGGAGGAAUCCUCACUUUCUCUUCUGAACCACCUGGGCUUCGAGCCAUUUUCUUGUAUUUUUCUUGAGUGCAACAUAACACACCCAGACUUGAAGCAUAUUUCCAUCCGUAGCCCAGCUCCAUUCAAGAAAUAUAUACUCAGAGAACCACAUUGACCGGCCUAUGACCUGCACAUAGAGCAUUAAAUUUAAUGGCAUUAUCCUAAAAGACUUAGAUGUUUAACAAGGUAGUAUAAAAAUAUACCAACUACAUAUGAAAAGGAUUGAAGAAACUAUAAAUAUUUGACUAAAACUUAAUUAUUGAGCAUGUUUUCCAGUGAAUAAUUUAAGGUACCAUUAUCCAACAACAAAAUCAUUUAUUCAGUUACAGAGGAAGGUGUCAAAGGUACCCAUAAACAAUAAAGGGGGCUCCAACAGACCAACCUAUAAACCACUAAAAAAGAAAAUACAUUGGCUAAACAAAUUGUUUAAGUAGAAAAUUUGCAAACUUUGACAGCAGAACCGAACAAGAAAAUUAUUGAAGGAGUUACACAUAUAGCUCGCCUAGCCUAGGAUACCAAAGUAAGUGAGUACCUUUUAAAUUUUUUCCAAAUUUAUGUAGUAUGUUGAGAGUUCAAGUCACGUUCUUGUAAAGAGGAGAAGCAGCGCAGAUUUUAUCAAAUACGGUUCAUCUAAUUUGGCUAUUUUUGAAUGGACCAUAAUUUUUCUAUUACCAGUGUCCAUGGACACAAGUGAGCAGAUCCUGGACACCCCAAAUUUCAAAAAAUCAUAAAAAAUAUGUAAGUCCUCAGUUGGACAGCUACGGAGUCCAUGUAAAAAGGAACCAAUUCCACCCCCUUUUUCAGUUUCAUGAGUAUUUAAGAAAAGCAAUUAAAAAUCCCAGUUUCAACCAAGAAAGUUUUAAUCAAGUUCUUAUAAUGAAAAAUCCUUAGUGAACAUUUAACUCUUCAGAGAAAUUACAUUCAAAGUGAAUUUAAAGCACUUACAGGGAGGAACUUGGAUGAUUUCUUCAUAACAGCUAAGCACUACCAAGUCAACCUUAUCGCUGGUGUGUGAAACAAUAUAAUUAGCAGCGCACAAAACAUAUAGUAAUAAAAACUUAAUUAUGUAAAACAUUGCAAUUUAAUUUUCCUUGACCUCCAAAGGUUAGUAGGAAGUACGGAAGCAAUGGGCAAGGUAUCCUUCUUGAUGUAGAAUUCUUUCGAACUUUACACAUAGGUCUGCAUAAUAAAACUUAAAUGUUAUCAGACUUAUUUAUUCUUAAAACAAUGUAAUUCAGAUAUAUUAGAGCGAUUCAUUAGAACCAUUCUUUCUUUACGCAAUCUAACACAACUUAGAACCUACUGGCAAUAGAGCUUUACUUUUCUGACAACCUACGCAAGCCAAGUUCUCCUGCCUUUUAGCCAAAAACCAAGAGAGGCCAGAUUAAUCUCGGUGCGUUUUAUAUCCAGCUUGGUAUAUUUGCCUCCAAAAGUUGCUUUGGAGCUGCAAAAACAGGUAGUUGGUAACAAGGUUGUUUACAACAUCAGAGGAACAUUUAAGGUAAGGGUCAAGUUUGGUUUGAUUCACUUCCACUACUGGUUGCAUAGAAGAUGCCAAUUAGAGCUGACAAGUCCUCCAACUGGCAUCCUUAUCACCAGAAGCUGUAAAAUUAAGAGAUGAAGAAUGCAUUCUUCCCCAAUGCUCGUGGAAUUGCAUACAUCUCACUGGAGGCAUGCUGAAAGUAUCUAUGUACGAUAAAGAUAUUAGCAGGCUACAUUAAUAUAAUUCAGAAGAUUAAUCAGCAGCUUUAAGAGAAAAUGUCACGAUCAUACGUACUACUUCGAUUUUUCGAUUCCUACCAUAAGCAAACUAAAGUAAAUAAUUAUUAAAAAUAUUUAAAAUUUACAUAGAAUUUAGUAGCGCAAGUUGGUUCACAUUAUAUAUAUAACCAGUAACCUUGACAUACAAUUUAUACGAAAAAUAAUUUUCCAGAAGGCGCAUCCACUUAUCCUCAUCCAAAAAGCCCAAAUAAAUUUCAAACUACAUACUUCCUUCAAAUUGUCUUGAACCCAAUCAUGAGUGGAAAUUUAACCGUCGGACCAGUUACUUACAUUGGCUGCACAUCGAUACAUCACUGAUAUGACCUAUUGAUCCAAAUACCCUAACUGGCAUCCUUAUCACCAGAAGCUGUAAAAUUAAGAGCUGACAAGUCCUCCAACUGGCAUCCUUAUCAACAGAAGCUGUAAAAUUAAGAGAUGAAAAACGCAUUCUUCCCCUGUUUUAGUUCAUCUCCACUGAAAUUUCUUUCACAACAAAAAGAGUGAAAACUUCAAAUGUAUAGAUUGAUGUCAUGCAUAUGGUUCUGUAUGCAGAAUUAAUUAUCACAAAAACAGAAAGACCUUAUAUUAUAUACUAAUUGCAUAUUCCAUAGAAAGUUCUAACAAUUUAAUUAUACAAGAGUAUCCUCAAUAUCAAAAUAAUAACACAAGCACAAAAAUAGAUGACACAUUGACAAGCACCAAAAAGACAUUCUAUGGAAGUAUUAGAAAUAUGUUCUUUAUAUCUAUUCAAGCUCACAUAAAACAAAUUGCAAAAAUGUAGACUUGCCAUGGGAAUGAUCAAUCAUCUCAAAUAACCUAAGUAGACUUCAGGCUGUGAUAACUGUAAAAUCCACAUCAAAAGAAGCCCACCACUACUAAUUAUUUUUCUAGAGUACUACCAACUAUGUAUCUGUGUGUGAAGGUGAUGGAAAGUGUCAUAGAAUGAGGUAGCACCAUCAGUUUCCUAAUUUGGAGAUAUAAUUAUUUCAUACCAAUGACUCAUUCUAACAAGAUCUUAGCGCACCUAUACGUUCAAAAUCUAAUUACCAUAAUACAUAAACAUUAAAAGCCUAAAUGGAGCAGAGUAAAGGAAUAUACCUAAGGAGAAGCAAAGACUUUUUGAAGUAUAGAACCCUUUUAGCAGCAUUCGAUUCAAGCAUCUGGUAUAUUACAAAGAGGGAUCUAAUAUCAUCAACUAAAGACCAUCGAUCAUAUAAUUGCAGACAACAAUAUGGAAUUGUUUAGUUAGGAACAUGUAGCUGGGAUGCUGCAACACGUCCUUCAAACAUCCUAUGAUUUGGGCUAAGUGUAAGAAUUGCUUGAACAUCAUAAACUAUACAAGCCAGUAUGAGGGCAAUGUACAUAGAACAUAAACAUCAUUGACUUUGAUAUAGAAUAUAUAAAAAUUGAACUCAACUAAGACUUAAUAUGCAUCAAUAAAAAAACUCUUGUUCAACUACAAUAAUAGCAAUUUCAUAUAAAAUAAAAUUUACUUAACAAUUAAACUAAAACCGUCCAUAAUAUUUUCUCUGAGCUUCAGCUACAUGAAAGUCAUUAUUUAUGAUUGUGGAUGAGUCACGCACAUUCACUCCCUUGGGAUAGGCCACAUGUUCAAAUAAUUUGACAGGAACCAUUCCAUAUCCCUCGUAUCCCCAAGAUUUCCAUGUGUUUUUUAUCAAAAAACAUUCAGUGCCCUCAUCUUCAUCCCCAAUGUCCAUGUCAUCAUCGUCCUCAUCCUGGUCGCCAAUUCUCUUGCCCUUGUCGAAUCCAUAACCUACAAUGUAGACCAUAUGGUCUGGACAAUGCGAUUUUCCGCUUGUAUCAACAGGUUUGAUUGGCGAAAGACUUCGAUUAUAAUUAUAACGCACAAAGUUAUCAUAAUUUGAAAACAACCCUCCAACUGCAGGAUGUUUGGUUUUUAUUAUCGGUAUCGCCUUUUCAGCCUCCAAAAUUCGGUAGGUAUCAAUGAAUAUUCUUUCAGGAGCUGUUGUUCUGAGGGCGUGAAAUUGUUCCAUCGAAAAUGGGGUAAAAUUGUUUCCGAGGAGAGGUUGCUCAUACAGAUAAUCAGACUUAAAAAAUGUACCAAAACAUUUCAAAUACUGAAAUAUCUCUGGUACAGUUGCCCCGAAACCAUUACCUAUGUCGUAGGGCGGCCACACAUAUUGAUUCACCGAAUGAGCAGGAGGUUUCGCUUUCAUAUCGAAAAAAGAGCUCAAAAAUGGCAGCCAAUCCCGCAUCUCACUGGCUGUGAUAGCCUGUAUUUUCCUUGUAAAAAAAAAAAAAAAAAAAAAAACUACUUUUCAAUGGUGUUUAAAACUUUGAUAAAAUAUAUUUCUAUGUGAUUAUAUUUGAAUACGUGUGUUGUUAUUUUAUAAGAUUUUAUAUACUGAAGUGUUAUCUCUAAGCAAAUAUUUAGGCCAGAACUUCCGUUAGCAAGUGGAUAGAUCUUAAUUCAAAAUAAUGAUCACGUACCCAUAAUUGUAGGAACACGUUGAACCAAGUAUGUACAUAAAUACACGUACUUGUUUCACUUAUUUUCUUGUACAGCUCUUCUCUUCUAAAAGGUAUGUCUAUGUUUAUGUCCUGCUUAUGUGCUCUGCUCUGCUAUACACUCUUGGCUGAUAUUUGACAUUAUAUGUAUAACAUGUUUACUACAGUGAAUUUAGUUUGUCACUGUGUUGUGUAUAUACAUGUCUAUUUUACUAGUUUUACACAUACUGUUGGCUACUGUAUAUUAUAUGUUUUCUAUUAUUGUAUAUUAUAUGUCUUCUAUUAUUAAGUGUUUGUGUAAUAUCUUGUUUAAAGUUUCAUGCCUUUAUCUUUUGUUAAUUAUUUUACUGUAUAUAAUGGAGUCUGAUUUUUUAUUAGAUCUCAAAAUUGUUUUGGAGUGAUUAAAAUUAUGUUUAUAAUUAAUUUCUGAAAAAUAUGCUUUUAUGUAUAUAUGCAUCAAUUUUGGAUAUGAAUAUCUUUGAUUUUAUAAUUUAAUAUGCAUGUUAAUCUUUUAUGAAUUAUAUUAGAUUUACGUAAUUAAUAUACAUUAUUUUAUUAAAACUAUUAUUAUUUUAUGUCACUCUUGUCAAUUAUAAUAGUAGUAUUUUAAGACUAAUGUUUACUUGUAUAUUUAUGAACAAAAUUGUUUAGUAAAUAUUUGUGGAGACUUGUAUAUUAUGAGAUUGUUUAAUAUUGUGUGUUUAUAUUUGAUUGGCUACAUAUGUAUAAAUUAUUAGUUUUUGUUGAAUUCAGUUUACUGGAGUUUUGGGAUAUGGACAGAUAGGGUAAAUUGUGAAUUAUUUGUAAUCUGUUUAGAAGUGAUGGAUGGGCUUGUUGAGUGGGCUUUAUGUGUUACUUGCACAGGCUAUUUGUAUGUGUUCACGUCAAAAUAGGUUAACUGUGUAUACAAUAUAAAAUUAGUUUAUGUAUACUUGUACUGGCUUAUAAAAAUGUUAUGAUUAUUCUAUGCACUUAGUUUAUAUCUUCUUUUAUUUAUUUGUAUAAUUGUUAAGAUUAGUUAUAUGAUUAAUGGCUUAAUUUAAUUACUCUCAUUAAUAAAUUUUGUAAUAUAUGAGGUUAUUAUAUUUUCAAAAGACAAACUAUUUUAGAGAGUCUCUUUCUUAAAUCAUUUUUUUUUAUUAGAGUUGCAUAUUUAAUUAUGUGCCAAGCUAAAUUUAUUUUGUAUGAUUAUAAUAUAUAUAAGUAAUAUUGGACCUUAUUAUUAAUGUCAUGUUUAAUUUAUUUUAGGAAUAUGCAAAUUGGGUGCAACAUGUAAUAAUAUUAUAAUAUCAUUUAUCGAUAUUUUUGUAGUGUCUCUCUUGUUUUAAAAUCAUUGUCAUGAUAUUUUAUUUAAUUAUUUAAAUUAGAUAUUUAUCAAGUUUUGUUUUAUUGGUUAGGAAAUCAUUUGAUCAUUGAAUAUUGUGCAUCGGUGUUGCUAGUUAAGGUAAGUUAACUUUUCAGUCUUGCUAAUGUAUUUAUUUGAAACUUUGUUUUGUUUAAAUAUUUGGUUCAAGUUAACUUGUUGAGUGGGCUUUAUGUGUUACUUGCACAGGCUAUUUGUAUGUGUUCACGUCAAAAUAGGUUAACUGUGUAUACAAUAUAAAAUUAGUUUAUGUAUACUUGUACUGGCUUAUAAAAAUGUUAUGAUUAUUCUAUGCACUUAGUUUAUAUCUUCUUUUAUUUAUUUGUAUAAUUGUUAAGAUUAGUUAUAUGAUUAAUGGCUUAAUUUAAUUACUCUCAUUAAUAAAUUUUGUAAUAUAUGAGGUUAUUAUAUUUUCAAAAGACAAACUAUUUUAGAGAGUCUCUUUCUUAAAUCAUUUUUUUUUAUUAGAGUUGCAUAUUUAAUUAUGUGCCAAGCUAAAUUUAUUUUGUAUGAUUAUAAUAUAUAUAAGUAAUAUUGGACCUUAUUAUUAAUGUCAUGUUUAAUUUAUUUUAGGAAUAUGCAAAUUGGGUGCAACAUGUAAUAAUAUUAUAAUAUCAUUUAUCGAUAUUUUUGUAGUGUCUCUCUUGUUUUAAAAUCAUUGUCAUGAUAUUUUAUUUAAUUAUUUAAAUUAGAUAUUUAUCAAGUUUUGUUUUAUUGGUUAGGAAAUCAUUUGAUCAUUGAAUAUUGUGCAUCGGUGUUGCUAGUUAAGGUAAGUUAACUUUUCAGUCUUGCUAUUGUAUUUAUUUGAAACUUUGUUUUGUUUAAAUAUUUGGUUCAAGUUAAACAUUUUAGAUAUAAGAAUUCCCAGUUAGCUCUGACCUAUGAAACCGUUAGUAUCUGCGUAUAGUUCCGGAACUAGCCUAUGAUACCUUACUAGGGGUGCCUGUUAUGAUACCUUCGGGGUUGCACACUUUAUGAUACCUUAGUAAGGGGCGCAUUACUGACAAAGUUAUGAACUUAUGAUACCGAGUCACCGGGUAUUUGUGACCUUAGCGAGCUGUGGAAUUAUCUUAUAUAAUGAUUCUGGAUUUAUGAAACUUAUGAAAUUAUGUAAAAUACUUGAUCCAUUAGCUUGUGUGAUUGGUUAUCUUGCUGGGCUUGUAUAGCUCAUUACUUACAAACUUUCAGGUGCCUAGCUUUUGGAAUCGAGAGGGAAUUGGCUUAGUUUGCUCCAAAGAUUUGAAUUUGCAUAAUUCUAGUAUAGAGUUGUGUCACUUUAUUUGAGAUUAUGUCAGACUAUGAUUUCUUUGAUUUUAAUUGUAAUGUCGCUGCAUUUGAAUUUUAUCAUGUUAAAUGACAUUUGAGAUUUGAGAUUUAGCAUUUGAGUAUUGAUUAUUUGAUUUAAAAAGUUGGGUCGUUACACUGGCUGAUAUAUCUUCCUUCAGCGGAUGUUUCUCCAGAUAGGCGAUAUCUCUUACGCACUCUUGGAUCGAGAAAUUCCAACACUGACCCGUAUAAUAUUGUAAAGAUAUCGGAGAAAAGGGUAAUUCACCUCGCCAAUCUUUGACAAUAUUCCAAUUAGCCGGAUAAUAAUAUCCGCUGCUUCCUCCUUCCAUGAGAGAUUCGAAGAGUGUGUAGGGUUGGGGUUUCGAACCGGUAUUAAUUCUCAGGGUCCAGCGGUGAGUUGUGACGGAGUGAGGUUGAUUGUUGUGUGUCUGUGUGUUUCGUGCAAUUAGGGCUGAGGCGCGCCACACUGGGAUAUUUGCAUAUAGCUAUAACAUAAUAGGAUAUUAGGUAUAUAUGUUAUUUAAUAUAUAAAAUAAUUAUAUUAAUUAUAUAUAAGUUCCGUCCAUUCGGUAGAGGACUGAAAUUUUUUAAUGAGAUCAUACCGGACCGUAUUUUAUUUUGGUUCGGACCGAAAUACCCGAAUCAGAUCAAAAUUUCAGAAAAUUAGGAUCAAGUUGGACCGAAUUUAUUCGGUUCGAUUCGGUUUUUUGGUUUUGCUCAUCCCUAAUUGUAAAAUCAUACUUUAUUUUCUACUUUAAUUGAGAUUGAGGGAUGAAAUUAUUAUUUUUAGAUAUUUCAUAUUUACUUACUUUAACGUAUAAACUAUAACAAAACGUAAAUAUUGUCAAAAGUGUUCUUGUAAUGUUCGGGUUAUAAUAUAUUAUGUUAUUUUAUUUUUAAAAUUAUUUGAAAUUAUAUUAUUUUUAAAAUUAUUUAAAAUAUUAUUAUAAUAAUUAAAAAUUAUUAGAUAAUUAAAUCAUUUAAAUUAAGCCCAUGCUUUAAUAUUAUACUCUAUUUUAAAAAUAUAAAAUUUAAUAAUUAAAUAUAAUCAAACCAUUUAAAGUUAGCUCAUGCAAAGCAUGUAACCUAGUGUAAAUAACUUUCAAACAUCUUCUUUUUAAAAAAGUUACCUUUUAGAGCUAAAAUAACACUAUAUUUUCGAUAAUUGUUUUUAAUUUUUAUUUAAUAUUUAACUGACUUCUAAAAUGCCCCUCCGCAUUUUUGAACACAAAUGGCACUUUCUAAUACAAAAUUGAAUCACACUUUCAAAUACAAAUUCAACUCGGGCUUGAUUAAAUCCAUUUAAAAUACUCUGCAUAUUUGCUUUUGAGUUUAAAUCCGAGGUUCUUAAUUCACCUAAUUAAACAAUACAAGACACAAAAUUCUCUUCAGCAACGUAUAUGCUCAUAAAUUUACAAUAAUAAGAAACAUCAAAAUAAAAAAGAAAAAAAAAACAAUCACCACUUUUAUCUUAUCUCUGUCUCUAUAACAAAUUCAAUUAGUUGGCCCAACUAGAUGAAGAAGCGGAAUGUACUUGAAAAAUAUGCAAAACUAAUGUCGGUAGGUGUGAAGACCAGAGAGAAGCAGGAGUGAAGGAGGGAGGGGGAGGAGGGAUAAUUUCCAACUUCAACACAAGGAGAGUCCCAUGAGCACAUUAUACAGGGAUGCUCUGCCUUACAGUUUGGAGAUGAAGAACAAGAAUUAAGUGAUAUUCUUCCGCUUAUAUUCAAAGAUUUGAAGGCACGGUGAUUAAGCAACAAAAAAUAGGAAAAUCAUGAGGAACACAAUCAGCACAAAGAAAAUCUUGAUCAUCAGCCAUCUGUUUGAUGAUAUGCUGUUAAGGUAUCUGACCAGUUGCCCCUGUGCACCCUCUACAUUCGCCAAAGUAUCCUCCAUGUUCUCGUCAAUCCUGUCAGCAACAAAAUGUUUAAGAUAAGUUAGCAAGUAGAAACUUCUUUGACUAGACCUGUAUAGUAACGCAUACACGAAUGCUUAAGUUACAAAAAAAAAUAUUAUUUGCUUAAUUGCUUCCAUCUCGGAAAGAACAUCUAGGUCAUUAUCGGUCUAACCAGCUACCCACAUAUGUUUUAAAUUACUUAACUAUCAUUGCGAGGUAUGCCAAGACUUCCCUCAGUGAAGUGAAUAAUGAUACUUUAAACAGAAUUCAUAAAUGGCAUCAAAUCAUGUAAACUGUUUCUGUGCUAGACCUACCAAAUUCAAAAGGAUCCCUCAAUUAUCUUUUGUCAUGAUGCAGAAUACCAAUUAAGAAAGAAUAAACUACUUUCAUUCCAAUCAUAUAUAUUGCAAUGCAUUUUACAACAAUAAAAAUCACUAGUAUUUGCUGUAGCUAACCAACCUAAUUGCAAGUUCCCCCUGCUGUGACACCAUUGUUGCCAAUUGAGUAAAGAUGUUGCUCAACUCAUGAAUAGUUGACUCUACAUUCUGGAGAGCUUCAGCCCUACUAUUCAUGUAAGUGUCUUGUAAAGGAACCAACUGUUGUUGCUGUUGAUCUUGUUGCUGGUGUAGCAAAGGCUGAGAUUCCCCAUCUGCCUGCUUCCUGUGAGGAAAUUGUAGAAAUCCUAAUUAGGUAUUUUAAUUAUAAUAUUAUUUUAUAGAUAAAUAUAUAAAUUUAUAUAUAAUAGCAUGUAUGGACUCCAGAUAAGACCAGAAAUUGUGUACGCAGUACUAAAACUUCAUUCCUGACAUGUUAGUUUAAAUAGAAUAUCUAUCAAUAGAAGUGCAAGGCUUAACUUGUAUGAAGUUUCUUUCUUUGCUACAGCUGAUAAAAAUUGUAUCGGCUAAGUUCACGAGUUGGAGAUAAGCGGACUCGAACCGUAUGGUAGACGUAAAUAAUUAUGACAUGGUGGUGUAAAUGAUCCUUUUAAUCCUAAAUUAAGUACACAGAACUAUAAAUACAAAUUCAUAACACAAAUUACUAUUUUUCUAAUAAUUAUUAAUCUAUUUAGAACUCAAUUAGUUUUGAGCACAUAUUCAGGCUGACGAGAAAAUACACUACACAAUUACCAAGUCAACCCUAGAUGGAUCAUGGAUGUCAAUCAAGAAGAACUAGAAAAAUAAGUAGCUACAAGAAGUGGCAGCACUACAUCCCAGAGGUCUGAUCAGACCAUAUGGGAACAUUAUUAUAGUUUUAACAAGUUGCUAAACUAAAUGCUGAUACAGAUGCUGGAGUAACUACUUUCCAGGGGUUCAUUACUUGCACCUACGAGAAAUCACCCUUCCUAUACCUCCAGUCAAAAUAGAUAUAUUGAUCUGCAAGGCUUUUAGCCUAGCAAAUUCUCCCUCCAGCUCUGUUUGUAAUAAGAAUUGGAGGGUUCAAGCCUUAGUAGGGAACGAGUGCAAGAGUAUAUAAUUUUCUGAACUUGACCGCAACAGAAUUUGUUUUUACAAAAUACAGGAAUAUUAGUUGACAUAGAAGGCGACCAGCUCGAUAAUGGACCAACUGCUCCCUCUAUAAUCUAACACUAGACAUAUAUUUCUAUAAGAUUUCGUCUCUUAAAUGGGUAGAUAAAAACGAAAAGUCAUGUCAUAAUAGAUAAAAACACCGGGAUUUUACCAGAACAAACUAUAAACAUGGAUUAAAUUUUUCAGAUCAGAAAAAUCUUUUCAGAUUCAACUAAUCAACCAUCAACACUAAUACUGCCAUGUGAUCUUUACCUUGGAAAUAACUGAGAUGAAGAUGCAGAACCAUUGGCCCAAGGAGGAGGAGCAUUUGAUGUACCUGCAGCUGAUUUGGCAGCCAAGGGCCGCUGGCGAACAAAAGGAUUAGUAGCCUCUUUCGAAUUGGCUGAAGUAAACAACUGCCUUCUGUUUUCAUGAACUUUCAAGUUCUGUGCAAACAAAAGUUAAACAAUAUAUUAGCAAACAAUACAAAAAACAUUGAAGCAAUGACCAGAAGGUACAAAUAUAGUACUUUAAUGCUUUCUAAAUUAAUGUACAGCAUACAGAACACUAGAUCUUGGCUAAAGUACAUUAACAAGUAACAAACCUCUGUCCGCAUGGUAAGAACUUCUUUGAACUCUUUUGUAGUGCUCAUCAAGCGAUUUUUCAGAUUAUCAACAACUGUGGUUGAAUGAGUUGUUGUGUCGCUUGAAAUAUUUCCACUAUUAUUUUGUGAGUUGCAAACAAGUUGCAAGUCCACUACAGCUGAGUUCAGUGCCGUAAUAUCCUGCUUGAUGACAGCUGUUAACUCUUGAAUCUCCAUCGUUGGGUCAUCAAAAACUGAAGUUCGCUUUGCCACUGUAACAAAAAAGAAAAAACACCUGUAUAAAUUACUCCUACAUUGUCUGGUAGUGUGUACAUAAUGCAGAAGCAAUAGCCACUACAAGUACAUGUUUGGCGUGAUAUAGACAAACACAGAAGUAAAUAAUAAUCAUGUUAUCCAUUUAAGCACAAAGAUGCCAACAACUACAUCUCAAAAUAUCAGACGUUAUAUGCUUACACAUAGAGACACAAAUGCUCCAACAGAUAUACAUGUCCUCACAAAGAGACCUUGUGGCAUGGUAUGCUAAAGAAUCAAUAACAGAUAUAGUAAAAAAAUUAAGCAAAUUUUUUAAAAAAGAGCCCUGAUAUUGAAAUAAAACCCACUAUCAAUUGAACUUGAUCAAAUCCAUUAAUGAUACCCUCAGUCACAUUAUCCUUGAAGGAUUUUUACUAAUCUACCUUAGUACCGUUUGUCAAAACACGACAUAUUACAGUAAUACAGCAUUUACUUUAAUACAACAUAUCAGCUGAAAAAUUCAAAAACAAACAGACCCAAUUUCAUGAUCUUCCUUGGAAAUCUUAUUACUUCACUAGAAUGAUUGAAAACAUUAUGUUGCAACAAUCUUCAGCUCACUUCCACUAAUAAAAUAUUAGUUAUAGAGUGGGUUUAAAGAAUAUUGUUGGAGGUGGAUACGAACGAAGUCAUUAGGAGCCAAUUCUUUAUAUUAUUUUUAGGGAGCGAGCUAAAAGUCUCAUGUGAUACAGUAUGCUAAAGAAUAAGUACCGUGAUUAACAUUGAACUAAUCUAGUACCACAGUCCUAAUAAUGAGCUAAAACCACUAUCACUUGGAAUUAAUUAAAUCCAUUUAGGAACUUGGAUACUCUGCAGUCAAACUAUCCUUCACAUGUUUUUAUUUUCUUUCUUUUGUGUGUUAAUGUGGUGUGGUGUGGUGUGGGUCUUAGAGAAGCACCAAGUUAUGUGAAGUCAUCACCCAGGAAAGAAUUUGUCAAAAAGAAAAGUAUUUCCGAAUUUGUGGUCAGUUAUACACUUUCAACCACUAAACCUGUCUACAAAUCUACCUACAACUCUACCUUAAAACCAUUUGCCAGACUACACACAAAAUAUUACAGCAUAUGAAACAGACUUAACAUCUAAUGGAACUAUGCUUCCAACUAGACAAAUCACUUUUCUUACGUCAUGAGUGUAAUAAACAAAACAUUCCACAACAAUCUUCUGUUUUUCCCAUUUUACUCGAGUUUCUUCUUUCCCCCAGAAUAUAAGCAGGUAACAAGACAACAUUUCUAAGCAGUGAUGCAACCAGUUUUCAAGCACAACAGCUACAGCUAAAAUGUAAUUCACCAAUCCACCGGAUAAAAGAAACAAAAAACUUUUUAACAAACAUAAUUUCUACGAUAACCGGAAUUCUCUUCAUUUCUCCCCCAACUACAGCUGAAGCUUACUAGUAUACUAAUACAGUUAUGAGGGAAAAAACAAAUUCUUAAACUAUAUAAAAUGUGAAAGCACCAUCGUCUAUAGAUUUCAAUCCAACAGCCAAAGCAAAAAUAAAAUAAAUUAUCAACUAGCUACAAUCGGUAUCGUAAUUACAUCGUAAAACCAUAAUUCGAAGACGUGAUAACCAUAUCAAAACCCGCAAACUCACAUUCCGAACAUAAAAACAAUCAUUCCAAAUUCCAAAAUCAACCAAUUCAAAAUCACAAAACCCACAAAUUUCACAAAACAACACAACUCAAAAUCCCGAAAUUCACGACACCAAAACCAACUCACAUUUCGCCAGCUUCGACAGCUUCUGCGACGUCUGGUGGAUCCCAAACCCAAUCUUCGACGCCCUCUUAUUAAACUCCGACUGAUUCGCCACCGCCGACCCGACCCGAUCCGUAAUGCUCCGACCCGACGACGUCGUCGCCACACUAGACGCCACCGUCUUCUUCAACCUCUCCGCUAUGCUCUCGAACUCUACGGUCCGAUCUCUAUACGACGAUUGAGCCGAUUUCUUCAACAUUAUAUAUAUCUAAUUUGUAUGUAUAGGUGUAUGUAUAGAUCCCCAAAUCGAUGAAACCCUAGAUCUUGUGUGAAUUGAAUUCAGAUCCCUAAAUUGGGUGGAAGAUUGUAUCUAUAGGUGUGUGUAUCGGUGGGAGAGAGAUAACCGACAAGAGAGGGAGAGAUAGAGAGAGAGAGAGAGAAUGGCGCCUGAGAGAGAUUUUAUUAGCUGGGAUAGUGUGAAAAUUAAUCAAAUUUUGUGUUAAAUUGGUGUUUUCUUAGGAUCAAUUAAAUAAAUUAAAUUUAUAUUAUUUAUUUGUAUUUACAAAAAAUUGAGUGAUGAAAAUUUAUAUAAAAAGAAUUUCAUGUCCAAUAACAAUGAUAUAUGUAAAAAUAUAUGAAAGAUUUCUUUCUAUACUUUCAUCAUUUUAGAUUUUUGACAUAAUUAUUAUGGUAUAUAUAAAAUCUUAAGCAUUAGUUUUGAAAAUAUAUAAAUGAGUAAGCUUACUUUUAAUUUAAAAAUAACUUUUUGUUAUUAUUUAUCAUAAAUAAUAAACGCGAUAAAAUAUGUUGCAAUAUGUUCGCUUUGACCAACUGAACACUCUGAUGGUUGAUGUGAACUGAUAUGUACUUUGUGCAUACAAAAACAAAGACUCUCUAACCAUAAAUGAGAAAAAUCAAGCAGAACCCCUGAAGCACAGCAAACAAAAUGUAGAAAACUGUCCUUAAAAUCGAAGAAUCUUCGACAAUCAUAACUGGAAAUCGACACUUGUCGUCUGACGGAUCCUCGUCUGUCAGCGUAGCCAGGCCUGAGAAGUUGCAUGCUGUAAUGUACUGGUUCUGAAACUGGUAAUACAUGUUGAAAGCAUAAGAAGCAUUUUCUUUGACACUUAAGUGAUUGCAAGAAGAACCAUAACUCAAUGCACUGCAAUCAGAAUGGCUACAAGCAUAAUCCAUACUGGUUCCUAAGUUUUUCGGUUUCUUCAAAUGUGGGCUCAGAACACACCAUCUCUUGUCCAUGUAUCGGACGCCUUUCACUGCAGUGAAGCUGUUGUUGUCGUUCCAGCCUGACAAGUCCAAUUUGUAUUUAGGCUUGCCAUCAAACUGGAAUAUGCCCCAGUGCCUCUCGAAGUAACCUGGAUCAAUGCUUUUAAUGUUUUCGUCGAUGAGGCUGAAAAGAUAAACGUCGAUUAGUACUCCUUUUCGUGCAGGAGUUCCUUUACCACUCAGAGCAUGCUGAAUCAGUCCUUGAUUGAAUCUUCUAGCGUUUUUUUUGUUAGCAUUUUUAUUUCCGUCAGUUGGCCAUCCGAUUUCUCCCACUAUGAUCUUCAUGUCGGGAUAUCCAGCUUUCGUCAAAGACCAAACAAGAGUGUCAAAAUUUGCAUCAAACACAUUAGUGUACACAUUGGCACCAUCUCUGAUAACCAGCUUAGGAGAUCCAUCAAAAAAGGCCUUGUCUAUUGGGAAAUGAUCAUCGUCAUAAAGGCUUAAAAACGGGUAAAUAUUGACAGUAAAAGGGGCAUUACUAGAGUGGAGAUGGCGGAUGAUGUCAAUCAUAAGCUCACGGAUGUCUGGUCGAAAAUCUCCAGCAGAAGGAACAGGAUUCGAAGCUGGAGCAUAGUAAAUGUCAGCACUAGAAGGAAUUGUGGCUUUAAUCUGUGAUCCAAUUCCGACAUUGUUGAGAGCUCCCUGCACAUUCUUGAGGGCUGGUAAAAUAUACGGCAGAUAUGUGCCAUUAUAACUUCUAAGCAAAGGGUCAUUCCCAACAGCAACAUACCUACAAGCAUUUGUAUCAAGUAGAUUAUAGCAAGAAUCAAAUAUUCCCUUUAGCAAGACUAGCUACGGAACUUAUCUAGCCCUAUAAACAACCACUUGCACUAAAACUCGUUACAGAUUAACAAAUUAAGGGAGAGGGGGAGGGUGAGAGAGGGAGAGAGAGGGGGAGAGAGAGAGAGAGAGAGAGGGGGAGGGAGGGAGAGAGAGAGAGGGAGGGAGGGAGAGAGGGAGGGGGAGAGAGAGAGAGAGAACUGUGCACUCACUUGAAACUUACUCCACCUCUGUAGACAUAAGCAGCAACAUUAGACUCCACCCAAGAAACAGCAUUUCCAGGGUCCUGACUCAUCUCCAUCAACAUGCCAUUCGGAAUUCCUAACACAACUUCGAUAUUCGUCCCGAUAAAGGCCUCAAGAACCUUGUGAUCAGCCUCAAACAACUUCACUUUGUUGAUGCCGUUUCUUAACAUCAUUUCAACUACAUUGUUUGGUGGCAACUUGUGGCUACUCAUUGUGCCCCAGUUCACUCCUACACUUGACCCAUGCACAAACAACCCCAUGUAAACAAUCACAAGCACCAUUGUUAUGAAGAGAUGAUCACAGAGUAAUAUUAUGUCUGUCAUUUUCUUUACUUCUUGAUAGUUUCUUGAUGGGCUUUUUUUUGUUUUUGUAACUUUCUUGGUUCAAGAAAAUUUUAGAUAUUAAAAAAGUUGGCUAAAGUUUAAUAUCCGAAACUAAUUAAUUUAGUCGUCUUUUGUAGCAUCAAAAAUUUCUUUUUCUUUUUCAUUUACAAAGUUAUUUAUAAUUUUCAAACAUAUUUGAAACUCAAUAAUUUUAUAUUUUUUCCGUAAAUGACAGCUCUUUCAGAAAAAUGAAGUUAUCAAAAGUUAUUUCUCCAGAAGUUCCCUAAGUUUUAAAUUUGUGUAUAUCUCACCGUUCCUCAAUCAAUAAACCAAUGUCCUAUUGUCCUCAAAGAUGUAGAAAUAAAAUUUAACCUAAAAAUUUAAACCCAAAUUUAUAGUACAAAUUUUAUUAUCUUCUCCCCCGUUUCAUUCCUUCUCCCCCGUUUCAUUCCAUCCGAUGAACGCAACCUAAAAGUAUACAAACAUUUUAACAACUAUAAUACGGUUUAACAAAAAUGUGAUAACAUGAACUUAAAAUUUUAUAUAUUGGAAUAAUUGUUUCUCAGUGAUUAUUUCAGAUUACACUGCGUAUUGUACUUGGGCUUUUUGCCUUUCAAAUUUAAGAAGAGAACUAUGGAACAUAUGUGUUAAAUCACCGAAUCUGCGAUUCUUUCAGACAGAUCCUGCAAGUGCUUAUACAUAUUGAUCUGUAGAUUAGCACGGUGUGGGAAUCUCCAAGUCAUCUUCACCGAUACAGGCUUCUUCUGGCAGCUUGAAACUUAAACAAUACAUAGCCUGCAAUACAGAAGUGUUGGUUAUACUGUGAAUUAUAGAAUUAUAGCUUAUAUAACUCUCAGUUCUGAUACUACUUCAAACCUUGUAUGGAGCAACAUCUCUAACCCUAUGAAAUACUGGAUCUUUGAUACUAGCCUUUAAAGCGGACUCGGCUUCCUGUCAAACAGUCAAUAUAUAGAGGAAUAAUUGUCGAUUGAGCGAAUUGAGUACAACACUAUUCAGUUAAGUUAUAUAAAUAGUUUAUCAUGCAGUGCAUGCAAACACCCAGAAAAAGUUUGUGAAAAUGACCAUGAUACGGGAACUUACUGAUAUUACUGAUUCUCUCGUCUCAGAUGACCUCAUGAAGCAAUAACAAUGAAUCCAAGGUAGUGAGCCCUUCCAGUAUUUUCUCCGGAUAAGACCUCUGAAUGAAUCUGUGAAAGACACAUCAAAUUUUCAUAUUGCUCGUCCAAAGGGCAAAAAGAAAAGCAUCAGCAAUAGGAAACUGAACCGCCCGGACAGCAAGUAAGCACAUCAGAGUUAGGCACAUAAAAAUAGAGUAUAACAUCUAAGCCAGAAAUCUAUUUACUAUGGAACGUCUAGUUUCAGAGUAGUGAAAUAAACACAUGUAUUUCAUAUACCUAGGAACUCUACAAUGUAACUCAAUUUCUGGGAAGUUUUAGUACCUCCUGUAACUAUGAAGUUGAUGUAACAAACCCAAAAAUGACAUCUGAUAAAAUGCAUUCUGUAAAGAUAAUUUGAAAAUAACAUCUACGCCAGAAAGAGCAUCUUAAUUUGAAAUAGUUUCAUAUUAGACUUCAUCAUAUUAAAAUGACAUGAUGUCAUCAGUUAGCCAAUUAUGGCAUCAUUUGUGUAAUAAAAUCUCAUAUUGCAGCGGAUAAAAUAAUAAAAAAACUUGAAGCUUAAUAUGCAGCAGAUAUCUACAAAUGCGACUUUUAUAGGGAUUCAGAUAUACAUAAAUAGAUCAUUCAUAAAAUGGACCGAAAGAUUAUAUGGUUUGCUUUGGCAUAGCCAUUUUUCCAAAUAAAUUUUAAAAAAUAGAUGAUUGACAAUUUGGGCAUAGCAUGAUAUACAACAGAGAUCAGUAACAUGUAAAAAUAUUCUAAGCUCCCUGUUAGAAAACAAGUAGCAUGAAAUUAUAUAUCGGAACACUGAUGUCUGGAUCAGCAAGUUGGUGCAAAUCAGCAAGUAUAUGUAUAUGGGAUAGAAAGAGAAAUAUAUACAAUGACUUAUAUAAACAUACCAAUAAAUUGAAGGGCAGAAGCAGGAAGAUUCAUUAUUAAAUGAUCAACAUGCUCCCAAGGUUUAGUACUGACUGACACAGAAGCUUUUAUGCGUUUAUUUUUUCCCUUGCUUGCCUUUGAAGCUGCACAAACACCAACUUCUGCAAAAGAAAUAUUAAAAAAGCAGCACUUAGAGUAUGAAUAUAAUAUCUAAUAAGCUACAUACACAAAUACAAGUUUGCUGAAAUUAGCUUAUAAUAGAAAGUACUAAUUUGAUGACUAAAAGAGCAUUAUGUGUCCAUUUAACCUCCCUGAAAUUCUGAAAAUACCUUCUUCAGAAACAUCUGAAGGUCGUUUAAGAGUAGUCACAGUUGCAUCUUCAUUCAUACCCACAACUCUGUCAGAGUCCAAAGUAAUUGACUUACUGCACGAAACUUCUUUCACCUUGCCUGCAGAACAUAUAAAGAUCAUAUUGAUAAUUAUGUUUUAAGUACAUAACUCACUGGCGAGAGUCCUUGCAAAAAAAAACAAAAAAAGAAAAGAAAAGAAAACUACUGGGUAGAGUGGGAGGUAUACCAUUUGUCUGCCCGCUGUCUUCUUCUUUUGGUACUUCGCCCAGUUCAUUGAGUGGCCCAGGAAAAGGAGCAACAUAUUGUGUCUCGCAAGUUGGAACUGACAUCAGUUGUGCAAUGAAUUUUCUAGCAUCCAUGUUGUAUGUAUGAACGCAAUCCUCAACCUUGUUGAUUUUGGCAUUGAUCUUCAGAUAAUUAACACUGUCUGGAUUCAAAUCAUUUGCAUACACUAGGCAUCCUUUCUUUGCAGCUGGAAUAGCGAAUGGACCAAUACCAGCAAACAUGUCACAUAUGGUUUCCCCUGCUUGAAAUAGCGAUAUCAACCUUCCGUGUUCAUGGUCCAACCUUGAAUUCCAAUAGACCAAGCCAUAAUCAAGCUUGAACGUUGCUCCACACUGCUUUACUUCGGUAGUCAUGUCAGUUUUUCCAGCUAGUACUUCAAACUUUGGUACACGGAACUCGUUAGUAAUACUUCCCACUUUAUUAACAACCGUCUGGAUAGAGGGAUAAUUUUUCUGAGGAUAUCAAGGAAACAAAGUAUUAAACGAUGCAAGUGAAAGAUGUCUAUAAGCAAUACUUUUUAAAGUACGGCACAAUUUAAAUGAUUAGACACAGACACACAGCCUAUUACAAAGACCUUUUACACUUUCUCCUAUGCACUUUGUUUUCAGUUUAUGAAUUCUGUUUUUCUUAGUCCAAAACCCCUAAACUGAUAUCCCAUACAAAAGAAAGAAAAAUAACUCUUAAAUCAUAAUUUGUUUCAAAAAAUAUGUUAAGCGCUUCAAUUUGGAGUUGUGACAACCUUCUUAUGUCAAAAGGUCGGAGAUUAAUACUAAAAAACCAAUAAUCUAAGGAAAAUAAAUAUCGGCGAUUCAUGGUUCAGACCAUAUGCCCCAUUAGAAAAAGAUGGUACAUAGAAUAUAAGAUGUUGCCAUUUCCAUUGCAACGCAACAGAUAUGUGUGUGUGUGAGUGUGUGCAUUAGGUAUUCAAACUAGACGUGGGAGUCACUGAAUGCAAUUUGUGAACUGUCUAGGUCUUUCAAAGAGAUUAAUCACACACACUACAAAGAAAAAGUAUAAAUAGAUGCUUUGGUAUCACUAUUGCAAACAGUGUUUCCUAUGGAAUUCUCCUUUGCUUUUGUUAGAUCAUGGAGGGAAUUAAACCUAAAAAAAAUACCUUUCAUGUACUUGGUCACAGGAUUCCAGCACCAAGCACAUUUAAUUAAAAAUCUAAGCGCCCCCCCCCCCCCCCCNNNNNNNNNNNNNNNNNNNNNNNNNNNNNNNNNNNNNNNNNNNNNNNNNNNNNNNNNNNNNNNNNNNNNNNNNNNNNNNNNNNNNNNNNNNNNNNNNNNNNNNNNNNNNNNNNNNNNNNNNNNNNNNNNNNCCCCCCCCCCCCCCCAAAAAAAUCAUAAAUGCAACAGAUUAUGGAGGCGUGCCAUUGAAUACAGAGAUAUCUACUUAUCUACUUCCUACAAAUAGUGUCUCUAAAUAGCAGCUAAAUGUUGAAAAUUUAAAAUUAUGAAGACAGGGUUCUGGGCUUCGCAGUGGAUAAGUAAAGAAAGAACUAGUGACUACACAAAUGAACAUAACAGCAACAACCAAAUCGAGUUACUUCAGCAAAAAAGACUAGCAGAGCAGUUGUUGGAGGAAUCAUUUAGUAUUAGUCAUGUGUCUAUAUGUAUAGUAAUAUACAGAUAAAUGGAAAUAUAAGAGUAUCUUACAAAUACGGAAAGUAUUCAAGUUCAGGCAUAUUUUUGAAUAACAGUACAGGACAUGACUAGUGAAACACUGCAACUCACAUCAUAUAUGACCUUCGCAAUAAUAUCCUUGUAAGGAAGUAGUUCCUGGCAUAUGUUCAAAUGGGCAAUGUGACCUGCAUAGAUACUGCAUGUUAGUCAAGUCCAUAAGUAGAGAUGAAGGCUCCAGCCCGAUAGAGGAAAUCCCUUGACAUUGAACUACAUCAGCAGGUAUACAGCUGGUACAGCAGAAAACUGAAACAAAUUACAUUUAUAAUAGUGAUACUUAACUAUGGUUUCAAAUGAUGACUGUGCUGUAAGCCCGGGAGGAAGAAUCUGCUUCAACACGUGAUCUAUCGCGCAAUAUCAACCAUUGAGGUUAGUCAGUAACAGGUCAAAGUGGCUCACCAUCAGCUGCUGAUUUACAGAAUUAAUGUAAUAGCGCAACAGCAUACAUGACUAUUGCAAUAAUCUACAGUUAGAGGAGAGUAAAGUAUUUAGGGGGUGGAGUACCUUAUACUAAUUGAAUAAAAAGCAAGAAAUCAUACUAGGCAAAGUAUUUACAUGAUGGAAGGAAAUAAUCAUAUUCAUGGAUCAUGAAGUUGAUAUAGUCUAUUUGAUGCCUGAAUCAAAACAUUAAUAAAUGACACAUAUGUUAUAUUGCAUUUUCUGCCUGAGUCAUCUAUUGUAUAUUAACAUUGACUUAACAGGGUGCUGAAAAGAGAUCUCUCGAGGAAGCUCUUGCUUCUUGAUGAGCUAUUAGUCAUAACCAAGUACAACAAUUAGUUGCUGAAGGUGGUUAAAUCUCACAAACGUGAAGAUAAUUAACACAAUUCAACUAAGCUUAGUUUACCCAUUUUAAGUAAAAAGUUAAGAGUUAAAACAAAAAAGAAAUUGAUAACAUAGAAUAAUUUAAAGUUUUAACUUGAGCUUUAAAUUUAAGCUAGAUAUAGAAUAUGUUAUAUGCUACAAGUCCCCUGACAACUUCUAAAAAGAAAAGCUUAAACUGUAUUUGACCAAGAAAGAAAAACUGUAUAUGGCCAGCCUAUGCAUAUUGUAUAGCCUAUCCCUAGCCAUAGUAAAAAUGAAGAAAUGCUGUGGAAUGUUCCUGUCAUAACGAAUUACACUCUAUGACGUGAUUCCUACGAGAUUAUUUCAUAAAUAGAUAUUCAAAUUUACAGAAAAACACCGCUUAUUCCUAAUCAGUAUAUUCAUGUAAUCAUGUCCCCUGAAAGAAACAUAACAUACUCUAAUGCACAUAACUGACCUGCACCCCAGUAGGAAUAUCCAAGGGUCAUUGAAUAAGGAACUACUUCCACUUCAAAAAGCUUCUUCAGCUCGUCAAUUUUUUCACUUGGAAUAUCAGAUAAAUCUGUUAUGCAUAAAGAUAAAAGAUCACAUCAUUAUGACUUUCCUAUUGGCCACUCAUUAAAAAGUACACAUGACUCGUAUAAUCAUUGUUUAUUAAAGAUGGGCAGUAAGCGCCUGUCGAUGCAACUAAAACAUACAUAUGAACAGAACAAGAAAUAUGGUACCAGCAAUAGAUGAAGUAAAGCUGAGGAAAAUUAACGAACAUCAACUAGUUGAAUUCUUCACACAGUUGAAAAAAUCUUGCAUAGCACUUAAAGGUUUAUUAGGCUAUAAGAUCAAUGAAGUCCCAAAAUAUAAUAGCACAUAAAGAACAGGAAUUGACUGCAAGCUUGAAAUAACUGAUUGAUGGUUAUGUGGCUAUUACGAUGAAGACAAGAAGUUGCAUACAUUUCAAAAUCUUACAGCACCUAAAUAAGAGCCAUUGAAUCACUAGCAGUGGCCCCCAGAGUUUGUUAUCAGGAAUCAGGAUUCUCAAAAAUUAAAUGCACAUGACUAGAACAGGCCAAGUCAAAUAAAAACUCAAAAGAAUGUUCAUGCUAAAAUACCAGGAUUCUGAACCUUCUCUGAUAGUAUAAUAUAACGACAUUUCUCAUUUGCUGGAUCUUUGGUGAUGGGACUGAUUCGAGGUCUGUCAAUCAAGUACCUAGAAGUAGAAUGACAAAUGUACAAUGUCAUGUAUGUCUUAGUUUCCUUUUAAAUACAUAUAAACGCAUAAUUCAAUUGGCAGCCAAAGAUAGAAGGCUUCGCUCCAUCUGGAAAAAAAAACUUAUGUUUUGAUAUCUACAUAAUAAUUGCAUUUGUGAGAAAACUAGUAAUUGAUUUAUCACCAAAGUACAUCUAUACCAUUUUAUUAAAGCUAAACAUGCAAAAGUUUGGUCGUUGGCUUGUAUCUGGUACGGUGGAUUAUAACUGUUGGAUCACUUAAAUCAAAUUGAUUAGAACCGUUAGAUUAAAAUUUCUACAUUUAUGCGACUAAAGGUCUAAGGUUCGUAUCUCAUCAACAACAUAUUAAAAUAAAUUAUUAAUUUAAACACACAUAUGAAAAUUAUUAACUAUUGAAAAUCAUUCGUGCUUCGCACGGGUUAUAGGCUAGAAUCUAACAAAAUUCUAAUACAAUAAAACAUGUAAUAGAUCACUUCCAACCCAAUAAAAUUAUGUAAUCUAAUUUUAUAUAUUUUACCACUUGCUAGUCUUACUAAAUUCCCUAUUCUGUAUUUCUUAUACGCACUACAACUAUAGAAUAUUCAAGAGAAUCCAGGAAUGGCAAUGUUUGGCACUACAGAUGGCACAAUUUACAGAGACAAGCCCAAUAAUGACACAGUUAUGCCUAAACUAACCCAAAUCUGAACUGACUCAGAAUCAUAAUCCUUCAAGCUUGUAUACUAAUUUCUGUCAAAGAUGAGUAAAUUUUAACACGAAACAAAAUAACAUGGAUAACCAGAAACACUGCCUUAAUUCUAAAAUUGAAACCUGAAGCAGGAUGAGAAUUAAAAACAGCAUUAAGCUUGGGCAAAUUACUGCUAAUAAUAGCCCUAAGGUGACUUAACUACAAAAAAGGCACUACCCCUAGCAUUUCCAACCACAGAGGAAAGAAAUUUGUUUGGCUUACAACCCAUAAUGUGAGAGUAAUAACAAUUUCAAAACUCCACGAGCAAGUACAAUCCUAAUUAUAAGAAAACUAGUAAACAGAUGAAUAAAAAUCCUUUUGAUUAUCCUACAGCCAUAACUAGAAUAUUCAAUUCCUAAUAACAUAUUUAUCUUACAUAAUUGACGUUUGUAGCUAGUUACAAAUAGCUUUGUUCCAAUGACAUACGAUAGAUACAGAUGAAUCUGUAAAUUUCCUGGUCCACAUCAUAACCCCUUGAAGUGUGAAGAUCAACAUAUAUUUACAGCAUUUAAAAAAGGCACAACCGCACAAAUCACACAAGAUAUUAUAACUAGAACUGAUAUUGAGAAUUCCAACUUAAUUUGAUAUAACUUAGUUAACCAUAUGAUAAAUAUAUGAAACAGAACUUAGUUAAACCUUACAGAACACUGAAAAUGAAGUUCAUACCCAUGUAGCAAUCUGCCUACAGCCUUGCACAUCUCCCGAGGGAUGCGAAUUGCAAACAACUUCAACUCCACAUCAAGCUUGCUCUCAUCCAACAUUUUGCAGUCCCAAUCAGUAUCAAACUUUCACUGCUAGUGUCCUGAAGGAUAAAGAAACAACUAUUUCAAAAAAGGUACAGUUGCAUACCAUUCUAAACUCUAUAGUUUUUCUGAUAAAGUAACACCAAUAUGAGUAUGCGACACUUUGCUAGCCAGACCUAACCAACAUAAAAUAAAGCUCAAUAUGAUAAGUGCAAUUCAUGUCAAUGAAUAGCAAAAGGCUUAAAGUGAGAUAAUUGUAGUGAUUCGUUAUCUGGUUGGAUGGAUCGGAAUCCGAGGUAACCUACAUUUCUGGACUUGCAUGAGCGAUACUAGUUUCUCCAUUCCAUUCAACAAACUUAAACUAGUUCUCAUUCUAUCUCUUUAAUUUAUCUAUCAAUGUUCAUCCCAUCUGUCAGCUCGUAUAUUUCACAUAAAUUAUUCCCUAUCAUAUUACCUAUCAUAUUUUUAACUCUAGCAUACUUCCAUUUCACUUCUAACAUUCCCAUCGUCUUCGCACUAAACACAUUCAUAAAUUUAAACAAUCCUCAAACAACUAAAACUUUCAAUGGUAUCGAAAUUUGCAAAACCACAAAUUCAGCUUCAUCAAUUCUACUAAAGCCAAAACAAUGUGUGAAUUUCAAGCAAAACCCAGUACUUAUAUGCAUUAACCAUAUCAAUAAACUAAAGUACAUACAAAAAAGAUAGAAUCUUUGUAUAGCCGAAUCAUAAUUCUUUCAACUUCAGAACAGCACAAUGAAUUAUCAAAAACUCUUUUCAAUAAAAUAAAAAAAAGGAAAAAAAAAGGAGCAAGAACUCACUUUAGGAGAACCCCUUUACACAAAUUUUACAAGAAGCUUUAAGACUUCAAUUUGGGUAAUUUUAUUGAUAUUGAAUUAGGGUUUAAGUGUUGUGAACUCAAUCAGGGUUUACGGGUUAAUUCUUUACGUUAGGGCUAUGAGUAAAGCCCAAUUAGAUGGCUAAAUGGGCCGCUUAUUUCAGUACUCACUCCGUCCCCCCAUUUCUUAUCAAAUAGGUUGGGCACGGAGGGGCACGGAGGUUAAGGAAUAUGUAUAAAGUAGUGGAAAAGAGGAAGAAAAGUGGGUAAAGUGAUGGGACCCAUUGAUUUUUAAUGUAUAAAAAUAAAAUAGUGGAGUAAAAGUAGUGUGAAAAGGAAAGAAAAGUGGAGAAGUGGUGGGACCUAUUGACUAUUUUUGGUAAGUUUUGAAAUGUAAAGAAUUGGGUGGGACACCCAAGAAGUAAAGUGUAAAGAAAUGGGUGGGACGGAGGGAGUAGUAUUUUCAGCUUCAAAACGUGUUUUGUAUCGUCCAAGCCUGUGCAAAAAAAAAAAAAAAAAGGCUUGUACACAAAAUAUUGGAAUAAAAUAAGAUAAAAUAUAAUAUAAUCAUUUUAAUUUUCUUUUUUGCUUUAAGAUAGUCUGAAACAUCGGACUACAUGCAUAUUGGGUUAAUUAUCUGGUUGGUCACUCAAAUGGGCUUAAUGUAUCAAAUUGGUCACUGAACUCAAAACGGUAUCAAGAUGGUCACUGAAAUGGCCAUAAAUAUCAAACAUGUAUCUUAAAAUAUAAGUUCAGGCACUAAAAAUAUUAUUUAUAAAGUUUUACACAUUAUUUUUGAAUGUUACCAAAACCAAGCAAAAGGUUAUGACUUCUAAUAUUUAUGAUAAUAUAUUUAGAUUUUAUCAAGUUUAUUUAUUAUUUAUUUUUAAUUAAAACAAAGAAAAUAACUAUCUAAUAAAAUAUAAAUAAUAAAUAAAUUUGAUAAAAUAUAAAUAUAUUAUUUUAAAUACUAUAAGUCAUAACCUUUUAGUUGGUUGUGGUAACAUCUUAGAAUAAUGUGUAAAACUUAAUAAAUAAUAUUUUUAAUACUUGAACUCAUAUUUCAAGGUACUUGUUUGAUAUUUAUGGUGAUUUUAGUGACCAUCUUGACACCGUUUUGAGUUCAGUGACCAAUUUGAUACAUUAAACCCACUUCAGUGCCCAACUUGAUAAUUAACUCCAUGCAUAUUAUAUUUAAAAAAGUAGAAUAAUUAUUUUUGUAAAUCGCAAGACAUUGUGUUUUUCCAUAUAAUUUAUAGCAAUUCCUACCAUGAAAAAUCUCGGCUAAAAAGUAAGUUGACAUACCAAAAACUCCAACCAUACAAGGGGUGUAAAUUAGCCGAGCCGAACUCUAAAGUGCUCGUGUAUCGUUUGUUAAAAAAUUAGUGAGCUCGAGCUCGAGCUUGGAUCGAGCCAAAAAUAUUGUUUGAGGAUCGAUUCAUUAAGAAAUAACUCUGUUCACGAACAUGUAUCACGAGCUUUUGCUCACGAACCGCUCAUUAACUUGCGCUCACGAACAUAUGUCACAAAUUUUUGCUCGUCAACCGCUCAUUAAUUUUGUUCACGAGCUUGUUUGAUAAACUUUGCUAACGAGCUAGCUUAUGCUCAUAAAUUUAUUUACGAGCUUGUUUGUUAUUUAAUUUAAUUAAAAAAAAUAAAUUAAAAUUCUAACAAUUUUUUCAUGUUCACGAGCUACGCUCACGAGCCAAGUUCACGAAUCAUGUUCACGAACUCAUAAUUCGAACUUGUUCGCGAACUAUCGAGUCAAACUUUAGUGUGCUCAAGUUCAGCUCGUUUAUAAAACGAACCUUAAAAUUGUGCUCAAGAUCGACUCGCUUAUGAAUUGAACCGAGCUCGAACCGAACUCUUUUCGAACCGAAUAUUGAGCGGUUAUCGAGCGUAUCAACUCAUUUACAGCCAUGUCCAUACUCUCCUUUUAUCCACAAUUAUAGUCAAACUCCAAUGAAUAAAUACAAGCAUGUAAAAAAUUCUGCAGGGAGAUUACAUAUAUCACUUGUUACCAUAUUAAAGUGAUAUUAUUUAUUAUAACAAUUUAAAAUAUUAAUAACAUACUAUUUUUGAAUUAUAGCAUGUAAAAUAUAGCCAACAUCAUCGAAGCACAAUGUCUUGCAUCUUCAACAAAUUCUAUAAGAUGUCCUACAGAUCUAAUUUAACUGAUCAUUAUAGGCUAUAGCAAAGCUCAUCGAAGAUGCCGAAAACAUAAUGAUUGUUGAAGUUAAAUAUUCUUUGGUCGGAAAUAAGUUUAAAUUUGUUAGAAAAUGGAAAGUUUAAAGCAUAUUUUUUAAUAUGUUCUUGAUGUAAUUUCCGGGACAUUUUCUUAGUGAAAUCCAUUGAGAAAUAGAGUUGAAUACAGUGGCUUGAAAGAGCUUGAAAUGAGAAUGUGAUUCAUUUAAUCUGGACAAAUGAAUCUGGUCAGUAUAUCUGACAGAUACAGAUUCAUUGAAUCUGGACAAAUGAAUCUGGUCAGUAUAUCUGACAGAUACAGAUUCAUUGAACCUGGACAAAUGAAUCUGGUCAGUAUAUCUGACAGAUACAGAUUCAUUGAACCUGGACAAAUGAAUCUGGUCAGAAUGUCUGACAGAUACAGAUUCAUUGAACCUGGACAAAUGAAUCUGGUCAGAAUGUCUGACAGAUACAGAUUCAUUGAACCUGGACAAAUGAAUCUGGUCAGAAUGUCUGACAGAUACAGAUUCAUUGAACCUGGACAAAUGAAUCUGGUCAGAAUGUCUGACAGAUACAGAUUCAUUGAACCUGGACAAAUGAAUCUGGUCAGAAUGUCUGACAGAUACAGAUUCAUUGAACCUGGACAAAUGAAUCUGGUCAGAAUGUCUGACAGAUACAGAUUCAUUGAACCUGGACAGAUGAAUCUGGACGGUGUGUUGGUGCCUUGGCCUCACUAUAAAUAGUGAGCCUCGACACUUGAGUUGUAGCACGGGAAAAACACAAACACCAUUCUCAUUCUUCUCUCUUACACUCUCACCAUCUACUCCGAUAUAUACACAUAUACAUACUGUUCUCGGGCGAACUGAGGUGUUGAUCGCUGUUGAUCGUACUCGUGUCUGUGAGCGGUUCGGUCUGUGCUGUUUUAUCCUGGGAGCGAUAUUGCGACUACCCAUCACAGCGUAGUGGGGCAAUAAUCACUUCAAGAACAGUCUAGUCUUCAUCGAAGGGCUAGGCGACUCAGCUGUUCUGUAUACUAAUUCUAGCGACGGUGUAAGGUGCGCCUUUCUCUUCUUUUCUUGUAAUUUAUCAGUCACUGAUUAUUGUAUAUACGAUCUUCGUGCAUGCUAUAUUGUUGUGGUUUCGUUGGCCUACACUUGUUUAUAUAAUAUAACUGCUCUAUACAUUGUUGCUGUGAUUUUCACUGUGACUCCCAACAAUCUUGAAGUGAUUAUCUGUUAUAUUGUGUAGUAAGCAAGAUGGUUAAUGAGAUUGCGGAUUCUGUUGUUGGUGGUGGUGCUGGUUCUGGGUCUGGUGUUACUAGUAACAUCGAUUGGACUACGUAUCGUUUUCCACAGCCCAUUGAUUUAUCAGGUAUUCCUGAUAAAUUCGGUGGGGGAGUUUCUUUUUCUCGUUGGCAGAAAAAGAUGAAACUGUGGCUUACGGUUAAGGGUCUAUGGCCGGUGUUGCAGUAUGAGAAACCAGUUGUGGUACAGGAAAAGGCUGAAACCCUUAAGGCCUAUGCUAUGUGGGAGGAAAAGGAUGGGGUGGCUAGGGCUGCUAUUCUAGCAGCCUUAACGAACACUCUGUUCGAUGUUUACUCAUCUGACUCCUACACUGCUAAGACCUUGUGGGAGAAACUUGAUCAGACACACAAUACUGACUCGCAAGGGUUGGAAAAGUAUUCUGUGGCUAAGUUCCUGGACUUCAAACUGGUGGAUACAAAAUCCAUGACUGAGCAGGUGCAUGAGUUUGAGACGUUGGUGCAUGCUUUGAAGGAGUCCGGAAUGGACCUUCCUGAAAAGUUUUUGGUUAUGUCUGUGAUUGAAAAACUCCCUAAGUCUUGGGAAGAGUUUGCACUCUCCCUGAAAAGGCAGAAGGGAGAGAUCACUUGGACUAACCUGAUGCUGGACAUCUCUGUGCAGGAGCAGCACAAGUCCAAACAGGGACAUGUGAUGCCAACUGAAUCUGGUAGCUCGAAGGUCAAUGUAGUGACUGUGGGACAGAAAAGAAAGUCUGUCGCUAAGAAGGUGAACACUAAGCCCAAAACUGACAAGGGCAAGGCUAAGAAAUCAAAGGCCAACAAACCAUGUUGGUCUUGUGGACAGGUUGGUCAUUGGAGUAAGGACUGUCCUGUAAAGAAAGCAAAGAAAGCUGAGGUGGUAGCACAAGCAAAUACUGUGCUUGGAACCACUGAUGGGCCUGUGCUUAACAUGGUUGUUGGUGAGGCUGUUGCUUCUGAAACCAAUGACGGGUAUGUUAAGUACAACCCUGAACUAUUUUCCACUUAUCUGUCUAAUGAGUGGUUGAUUGAUACGGGAGCUAAUGUGCACAUUUGUGCUGAUAUUACUCUGUUUGUAUCUUAUCAACAGGCUCAUGGGAUGACAGUGACGAUGGGGAAUGCUAGUGCGGCUCAAGUUCGUGGAAUAGGAAACGUGGACCUGAAGUUUGCUUCAGGGCGUGUUCUAUCCCUUACUAGAGUGCAUCAUGUUCCCGAGAUUCGUAGAAAUAUUAUUAGUGGAAGUUGUUUAGUUAAAAAUGGCUUUGAACUUUCUUUAAAGUGUAAUAAAGUAGUUAUUACUCAGACUGGUGUGUUUUUUGGCAAGGGCUACUUGUCAGACGGCUUGUUUUUAAUAAAUGUGGAGCCUGUUUUAGGCGGUUUUAUUAAUGAUAUUGCUUCUCCUUCUGUUAAUAAUAUUGAAUCAUCCGAUUUGUGGCACUCUAGGCUUGGUCAUUUUAAAUUUUGGUGCUCUAAAGAAUAUGAUGAACUUAGAGUUGAUUCCAAAGCAUGCCAUUGAUAAGAAAACUAAAUGUCAAGUAUGUGUGACAGCUAAACUAACAAGAAAACCUUUUCAUAGUGUGGUUAGGGAUUCUGACUUGUUAGAUUUAGUGCACUCGGACAUAUGUGAAUUUGGUGGUGUGUUGACUAAGGAACACUGUAGAUAUUUCAUUACCUUUAUAGAUGAUUGUAGUAGAUAUUGUUAUGUUUAUUUUCUUAAACAUAAAGAUGAAGCACUUGAAAAAUUCAUUAGAUUUAAAACUGAAGUUGAAACACAAACUGGUAAAGUACUUAAACGUUUGAGAUCUGAUAGAGGUGGUGAAUAUACGGGAAACACCUUUAAUGAAUUUUGCAAGAGCAAUGGUAUAAUUCAUGAGGUGACUCCACCAUAUACACCUGAGUCUAAUGGGGUGGCAGAACGAAAGAACAGAACUUUUAAAGAUAUGAUUAUAUACAUACUGUUCUCGGGCGAACUGAGGUGUUGAUCGCUGUUGAUCGUACUCGUGUCUGUGAGCGGUUCGGUCUGUGCUGUUUUAUCCUGGGAGCGAUAUUGCGACUACCCAUCACAGCGUAGUGGGGCAAUAAUCACUUCAAGAACAGUCUAGUCUUCAUCGAAGGGCUAGGCGACUCAGCUGUUCUGUAUACUAAUUCUAGCGACGGUGUAAGGUGCGCCUUUCUCUUCUUUUCUUGUAAUUUAUCAGUCACUGAUUAUUGUAUAUACGAUCUUCGUGCAUGCUAUAUUGUUGUGGUUUCGUUGGCCUACACUUGUUUAUAUAAUAUAACUGCUCUAUACAUUGUUGCUGUGAUUUUCACUGUGACUCCCAACAAAAUUUUCCUCUUUUUUUUGCACAUAAACAUGCGUCCUGGAGAAGUGUCACUGUAUUGACCACGGCAAGACGGCAACUGAGUCAUCAGUCCAGAAAUAUAAGAUGAGUAUUAAAAUUGAAUUUGGCAGCUACCAAAUAAAUUCUCCUGUUAGUGUAUAUACUGAGUUUGAAGAAUAUAAGACGCUACUCUUUCUUUUCCCUUUUUCUUUUGGAAAGUAUGACACUACUUUCUUAGUAAUAGCUUUGUUAGUUGUUACGACAUAGGAUGGUCUGGGAAGGUAGUUUCUUAUUAAUAUUAAUAAGAAACUGACUACAUUCUUAUAUUCAUAAAUUCUUCUCCCAUAAUCUCCAAGAAAUGAUUAGGAAAUGUUUCAUAGUCCCUUCAUCCUUACUUUUAAAUUCAAAAUAUAUAUUAAUAUUAGUAUUUGAUGUAUCAGAUAAUGUUUAUUCAGAAUCGAGGGGUUGAAAGUUGUGGGAGCCUUUCUACUAUCAAAACCUUUUUAAUCCUAGAUGUAAAAAUUUACUAUAAUCAGUGACGGAUGGAGGAUUUGAUGAAAGGAGGGGCAUAAGGCAAAUAGGAAAAAUUGUCUAAAAAAUAACUUAAUACAUAAUAAAUUGAACAAGUCUCUAACACAGAACAUAUAUAUGUGCUAUUUAGAAGACCAUAGAACUAUACUAGAAGAUGUGUUUUGAAAUAAGUUCAAUAAGUUUCUAACACUAAGUAUUUUGAAAUAAGUUUCUUAUCAGUAGACGAGGCGAUUGAGUUUUAUAAGAAGACAUGUCUUGAAAUAAUACUAUAAAUCUCCAACACUUGACUUGCCUCACUAUCCCUAGGCAUUGAUAUUAUAUAUGUCAGGUUAUUGAUAUAUCAUAAUUCAUAAGUUAUUCAAAUCUUUUUAAAUCUGUGUAUUACACAAAAUUUCUAAAAUUUUACAUACCGGCUAUUAGCUAGAAACAUCAAUAAAUAUAUACGAUAACCACUAAAAUAUAAAAUUUAAUGCAUAUGUGAGUUUUUGGAUAAGAGUGACUGUAAUUUCCUGUAAGCCACUUGCAUAGUUGCAUGAACCACCCUCUAGAAGACGGGCUACAAGACAAGAGCUAUAUAGCUCGUGCUAUAAACUCUUCAGCACAAGUCGUUGUUAAAGUCAAUACUAGUCCCAAGUAACCCCAAAGUCUAAGUUACAGCUACCAAUUUUCUGGUUUCUAGUUAUGUAGUCCAGCAGUAUAGUAAAGGCAACUACUAGUUUCUGGUUGGAUAGUUUCUGGUUGAAUUAGUAUAUGAUUAUACAAUUCAACGGCUUAGAUUAUGUCUGGUAUAUUAUAUUGUAAGGUGUAGAUGGUUUGCUGGCACCUAUAAAUAUCCUUUGUAUCUGAGUUUAUUAAUAUAACAAGUAACAGUUUGUUUCUUAAGUCUAGAGAGAAAAGAUCAGUUCAUACUUGUUAGUGUAACUAGUGUGUUCUUUUUCUAAAGAGAGAAGAGUGAAUACAGAGAGUGUUUUUCAACAAUUGGUAUCAGAGCAAAGGUUGUAUUAUCAAUAAUCAGAAGACAAGAUGGGUGAUCUUCAAGUGGUGGGAGGAAUCAAGAAGCUUAACAAUCAGAACUACAAUACAUGGUCCACCUGUAUUGAAUCUUACUUGCAAGGUCAGGACCUGUGGGAGGUUGUUGGAGGGACUGAAGUAUCUCAGCCAAUAACUGAGGAUGCUGUCCGCAAGUGGAAGAUUAAAGCAGGCAAAGCAAUGUUUGCUUUGAAGACCACCAUUGAGGAAGAAAUGUUAGAUCAUAUUCGGGAUGUAAAAACACCGAAGGAAGCCUGGGACACUUUCACAACACUCUUUUCAAAGAAGAAUGAUACUAAGUUACAAAUUCUGGAAAAUGAAUUGCUCUCAAUGGCGCAAAGGGAAAUGACGAUUGCUCAAUACUUCCACAAGGUGAAGUCCAUAUGCCGUGAAAUUUCAGAUUUGGAUUCAACGGCUGCUAUUGGAGAAGCCAGGAUAAAGAGAAUAAUUAUCCAUGGCUUAAAACCUGAAUACAGGAGUUUUGUGAGUGCUGUGCAAGGUUGGCCGACACAGCCAUCUCUUGUUGAGUACGAAAAUUUGCUAGCAGGCCAAGAGGCCAUGACAAAGCAAAUGGAGGGAGUCUCGCUGAAAGGUGAAGAAGAAGCACUCUACACCAAGCACAGCAGCAGAGGCGGUACAAAACAGCAGAGCAGGGGCGGAUUCAAGAAAUUUGGUGGCAUGUCAAAAAGUCAUCAGGGAGAGAGAGGUUUCCGUUCAGGUGGAACUUUCGCAAAUCGAGAUAAUACCAAGAGAUUUGAUGGAAAGUGUUAUAAUUGUGGAAAGAAGGGCCAUAUGGAGAAAGAUUGUUGGUCAAAGAAGAAGUCUUUAGAGAGUAAUAUUGCUACAUCCAGCACUAAUGAAGAAGAUAGUUGGGAUGCAGAAGCAUUAUUAGCUAAUGCUGAAGAUUUAUCAGCUUUCCAAAUGACAACAAAAGAGAAGAUCGAUUAUAAGAAUGAUUGGAUUGUUGACUCCGGAUGUUCAAAUCACAUGACGGGUGAUAAACAUAAGAUGCAAAACUUGUCUGAGUAUAUGGGAAAUCGGGUGGUGGUAACGGCCGACAACUCGAAAUUACCAAUAGCUCAUAUUGGAAAAGCUGCUGUUAUGCCUCGGUAUAAUCAGAAUGAAGUGUCACUUCAGAAUGUUUAUCAUGUUCCAGGAAUGAAGAAGAAUCUAUUAUCCGUGGCUCAAAUAACUUCAUCUGGUCACUAUGUUGUCUUUGGUCCAAACGAUGUGAAGGUAUUUCAAGACCUUAAUAUAUCUGAAAAGCCAACGAUGCAGGGGCAGAAGUUGGAAUCAGUUUAUGUAAUGUCUGCAGAAUCUGCAUAUGUAGACAAAACACGAAGAAAUGACACAGCAGAGUUGUGGCAUAUGCGGUUGGGUCACGUUAGCUAUUCCAAGCUAAAUUUGAUGAUGAAGAAAGCGAUGCUUAAAGGACUUCCUCAAAUUGAAGUACGGACAGAUACCGUAUGUGCCGGAUGUCAGUACGGUAAAGCACAUCAAUUGCCAUAUGAAGACUCAAAGUUUAAAGCAAAGGAGCCACUGGAGUUGGUGCACUCUGAUGUAUUUGGGCCUGUUAAACAGCCAUCGAUCGGCGGAAUGCGAUAUAUGGUUACAUUUAUUGAUGAUUUUUCAAGAUAUGUAUGGGUCUUUCUUAUGAAGGAAAAAUCUGAAACAUUUCUGAAAUUCAAGGAGUUUAAAGACUUAAUCGAAGGGGAGUCAACUCACAAAAUCAAGUGCUUACGUACAGACAAUGGAGGAGAGUAUAGCUCGAAGGAAUUUAGUCAAUAUCUACGAGCUAAUAAAAUCCGUCAUCAAUUUACAUGUGCAAACACACCCCAGCAAAACGGUGUUGCAGAGAGGAAAAAUCGACAUCUUGCUGAAAUAUGUCGGAGUAUGUUACAUGCUAAUAACGUGCCUGGAAAAUAUUGGGCUGAAGCUAUAACUACGGCAUCUCAUGUCAUUAACAAGCUUCCUCAACCAAGGCUGGAUUUCGUCACGCCCUUUGAAAAAUUAUGGGGAAAGAAACCUGCUGUAAGUUAUCUUCGGGUGUUUGGUUGUGUUUGUUAUGUAUUUGUUCCUGAUCAUUUACGUAGCAAGAUUGAUAAGAAAGCAAUCAGAUGUAUCUUUGUGGGAUAUGACAAUCAACGGAAAGGAUGGAAGUGUUGUGAUCCAACAACCGGAAGAUGUUACACAUCACGUAAUGUGGUUUUUGAUGAAGCAUCUUCGUGGUGGACUUCAGAGAAAGAAACAACGCCUAACUCUGAAGAAUUUGAGAAAAAGUUGGAACAAAAGAUGAGUGAGCAUAUUGUUCAAAUUUUGCCAAGUUCAGAUGGAGAUAUACGUAAUGAUGAUGAGCCAAACGUCACACAAAAUCCUUGGCAAUCUGGUAUGUAUCAACAACCAGAUGAAAGCUAUAAUUCUGGUGAAGAAUCAGCUCCAUUACGAAGGUCAACAAGAACUCGGAGGGCAAAUGUUAGAUAUGCUAAUGCAGCAAUAAUCGAAGAAAUAGAACCUGAGACGUUCGAAGAAGCAUCACAAAAAUCAGAAUGGAUAACAGCUAUGAAAGAUGAGAUCAAUUCCCUUCAAGAAAAUCAAACUUGGGAAUUAGUGUCAAAGCCACACGAUGUGAAACCUAUAUCCUGCAAAUGGGUUUACAAAAUAAAGCGCCGUCCAGAUGGGUCAGUUGAGAGACAUAAGGCUCGACUAGUAGCUCGCGGCUUCUCUCAGCAGUACGGACUAGACUACGAUGAAACGUUUAGUCCGGUGGCAAAACUCACAACUGUAAGAGUCUUGCUUGCAUUGGCGGCUAACAAAAAUUGGAAGUUGUGGCAAAUAAAUGUGAAGAAUGCGUUUUUAUAGGGUUGUCAAACGGAUAAUUCGGAUACGGAUAUGCCUAUAUCCGUAUCCGUAUCCGCAAUGGCCGGAUUCAGAUACGGAUAAUAUCCGCUUUAAUUCGGAUACGGAUAAUAUCCGCUUAUUCUCGGAUACGAAUGCGGAUAUUUCAGACGGAUGUCGGAUAUUUUUUAUGACUCUACCGUAUUAACGAUGAUUUUCGAACAAUUUUUUUAUGACUAAGCUCAAAUAAUAUUUUUAUAUAUGUAUAAAGUGUUUGAGUAUUUGUACAAUUAUAUAAAAUUUAUGUAAAUGUAUUAUUUAAUGCAUAAACACACACUACAAGCUAAAUAAAAUAAAAUUUUAAUUACAUAUACUUAUAUAUUAUAUAAUUUAAAUAUCAUAUAUGUAUUUAAUUUCGGAUUCGAAUAUCACGGAUUCGGAUACGGAUAAUAUCCGUUUUAUUUCGGAUACGAAUAAUAUCCGCUUUUUCUCGGAUACGGUUGCGGAUUUUUCGGACGGAUAUCGGAUCUUUCGAAUAUUUUUGACAGCCCUAGUUUUUUACAUGGAGAGUUGGACCGAGUGAUUUACAUGAAUCAACCAAGUGGUUUCGAAAGUGUAACUCAUCCUAAUUUUGUUUGCAAACUCAGAAAAGCGCUUUACGGAUUAAAGCAGGCACCACGUGCGUGGUAUGGGAAGAUAGCUGAGUUUUUAAGCCUAUGUGGUUAUGUGAUGGCACAAUCAGAUUCUAGUUUAUUUGUUAAAAUAAGAGAAGGGAAGUUGGCAGUGGUGUUGGUAUACGUAGAUGAUUUAAUCAUUACAGGAGAUGACAUCGAAGAAAUUUUUCAGACAAAGAAAAAUUUAUCAGUCCGUUUUCAGAUGAAGGAACUAGGAGAACUCAAGCACUUCUUGGGAUUAGAGGUUGAUCAUACUGAAAAUGGGCUGUUUCUUUGUCAACAAAAGUAUGCUACAGACUUACUAAAAAGGUUUGGUAUGCUUGAAUGUAAGCCAGUAUCAACACCCAUGGAGCCAAAUGCGAAAUUGUGUGCUCAUGAAGGAAAAGAUUUGCAGGAUUCAUCAAUGUAUCGACAAAUAGUAGGUAGUCUGAUCUACUUGACUAUAACCCGACCUGAUAUAUCAUAUUCAGUUGGUGUGAUAAGUCGAUACAUGCAAAAUCCAAAGAAGUCUCACUUAGAAGCUGUUCGAAGAGUACUCAGAUAUAUAAAAGGUACUGUAAGUUAUGGUCUGAUGUACAAAAAGGGUGAAGAUUGCAGUGUACUUGGAUAUUGUGAUGCUGACUACGCUGGAGAUCAUGAUACUCGUAGGUCAACUACAGGGUAUAUGUUUAUGCUUGGAUCCGGGGCAGUUUCUUGGUGUAGUAAGAGACAACCAACAGUGUCUCUGUCAACAACAGAAGCCGAAUAUCGGGCAGCUGCAAUGGCAGCUCAAGAGAGCACAUGGCUGAUCCAACUAAUGCAGGAUUUGCAUCAGCCAGUAGACGCGGAAAUUCCACUCCUUUGUGAUAAUCAAUCAGCAAUUCGUUUGGCUGAAAAUCCGGUGUUUCAUGCCAGGACAAAACAUGUUGAAGUACAUUAUCAUUUUCUUCGGGAAAAAGUCUUGCAAGGGGAGAUUGCAAUGAGACAUGUUGCGACACAUGAACAAGUUGCAGAUAUGUUUACCAAAAGCUUAAGUCCAGGAAAGUAUGAGAAGUUUCGCUGCCAACUGGGAGUUGUUCAGAGAAUGGGGACUAACAUUGAGGGAGAGUGUUAAAGUCAAUACUAGUCCCAAGUAACCCCAAAGUCUAAGUUACAGCUACCAAUUUUCUGGUUUCUAGUUAUGUAGUCCAGCAGUAUAGUAAAGGCAACUACUAGUUUCUGGUUGGAUAGUUUCUGGUUGAAUUAGUAUAUGAUUAUACAAUUCAACGGCUUAGAUUAUGUCUGGUAUAUUAUAUUGUAAGGUGUAGAUGGUUUGCUGGCACCUAUAAAUAUCCUUUGUAUCUGAGUUUAUUAAUAUAACAAGUAACAGUUUGUUUCUUAAGUCUAGAGAGAAAAGAUCAGUUCAUACUUGUUAGUGUAACUAGUGUGUUCUUUUUCUAAAGAGAGAAGAGUGAAUACAGAGAGUGUUUUUCAACAGUCGUUAGUCUAAACUAAGACACAACAGAACUGAGUAAACAUCAAUCUAUUUGAUUUAUUUAUGAAUUAACAAGUCUAAAUAAAUGAAAGUCACAAUCAUUUGAUAAUAAAAAUGCCGAAUGCGUUUCUAUUUGUUGUAUGACUCAUGGGAGAUUGAAUUAAAAAAAGGUUCAAUAAUGCAAGUCAUCAUCAUGCAUGAAAAGUCCUAAAAGGGUUACUAUGAUCAUGUUACUUGGAAUUAUUGAAACGAAAAGAAGGUUCUGUUAAAAGCUGGUUUGUGUUAUUUUGGGAGUUAAAUCAUUUAAGUGGGUUUUUGGUUCCCUUAGAGUUUUAAAUUAGAAGUAUUUAUUCGUAUCGUUUAUAUAAAAAGUUGAGAAGCAUUUAAAAAAACUAGGAUUCUAUUUCUGUAAUUUGACACUAACAAAUAAGCUGAAUGUUCUGUUGCUGCGAGUGGUCUCGAGUCCUGCUGCUUUUCAAUUUUUAAUAUCUUCGAUUUAUCAAAAAAAGUAUUUUAUAAUAUGUUUAAAACAGGGAAAGAAUCUCGCAUAAUAAUUAAAAUUGUUUGCAGUGGCGGACCCAGAAUUUUUUCUCAGUGGGUUCCUUGUUUUAUUUUAUUAAUAUAAAUAAUAAAUAUUUAAUUAAAUAUUAAUAUUUAAAUUUUUGAUAUUAAUAUUAAAUGUUAAUUUAAAGAACAACGGAAACUAAAAGGAAUAUAUUUAUACAAAUAUCUUAAUAAAUACGAGAUGUUAAAUAAUUUCGAACAACAAUCGCCUAAUAAUUAAUAAGAUUUCUGAAUUAUUAAAGUAAAUUAUGAAUUUGGUAAAAUAUUUUAGUGGGUUCCCGCUAAUUUUAAAUUAAUUUUUAACCGAAAUUUACCUUAUAAUUACAUUUCGGCGGGAAGUUGAGUGGGUGCCCGGGAACCCAUAGCCAAAGCUAUGGGUCCGCCCCUGAUUGUUUGAUGUUAUAGAUAAAAACAUGUUAGAUACUAAAUAUUCCUUUCAUUUCAAAAUAAUAAUCAUUUUGAUUUUUUACGGUAAUUUUAGUUCUACGCUUGAAUUAUCAAAUACAUUACCAUUUUCGUUUAAAAAUAUCAAGUAUGUUAUCGACAAUUUUCUAAUUUCGUUUGUAUCACUGAUUUAAAAUAAAUUUGUAUUUUAUUAAUUUUAAAAUUCUAUAAUGAAAGUUGAUUGUUGAAAUUUUUUAGAAUAAGCAAUAGCCCAUCUUUCUAACUACAUCAGUUUUUUUUUAUUGAAUUCGACAUCUAUUUUCCCAAAGUUUCUAUGAUUUUAUUUUUGUUUUUUUAUUUUAUCAUCACGUUAUUUUGUGCACAAGUUUGUCAAUCAAAUUCAUGUCAUAAAAUUUUAACAAAAAAAAUUAAUUUAACUUAAUUUUGUGAAAUUUGCAUGCAUAUAAUUUAAUUUGAAACGAGUAAUUCAAAUAAUUUUAAAAAUUUAUUGAUAAUCCACUUGAUGUAUUAACAUAAAAUAAGUGAACUAAUUAAUUAUUAACCGAUAAAAAACAUAAUUUUAUAUAUUUAAUUUUCAAACUUUUUUUUCCUAAAUAAAUAUUUACACCUAUAUUUUUAUCACAUACCUCAACUUACCUGAUCGAUUUCUAUGAAAAUGAUGUAAUACUAAAAUCGGAGUAUUUUGUGAUGAAUACUCUAUCGUUAAAUCUUGAGAUGCUCACAAAAUCUAGCUAAAAUAAAGCCCAAUAACAUUUUCAAGAACAAAUGUUUCAAAAUUUUCAUAGAAGUCAGAUUGUAUCAAACAGAUUGUAAUUAACAUCAUCCUCUCCAGGAGUUUGGCAGUUCGAUUCGCAGUGACGUUUAUUAUUCUGUACACGCUUUUCACUUGUUUUCUACUCGUCUCUGUUUAGCUCCGCCUCCGGACCAAAUCAAAUCAAACAUACCCGAUAUGUGAAUCGAAAAUAAUCUUGUUGUCAAACAUUUUGCUAUAUGUUUUCGUGAAAAGCCCCGACUUAAAUAUUCACGUUAUCUUCGACGCAAAAUUAGAAAAAUUCCAAACUCGUAUAAAUCCCCGAUCAUCAGAUUAAUCCCGAUCAUUCCAACAUAAGAGCAUGGUGACACACCGUCGGAGAAUAUAAAUCUUGGUUUUCCGCUGCUUGACUAUCGUGAAGCACCUUUUGGAGAUUUUAGCUGCCCUGCAGUUGCUUUGACGAGAACUAAGAGAAUUGAUGAGAUAAGAAAACGGCAUGGCUGUUGAGACAAUACAACGAGUGGUUGAUGAGAGAAACGAGAAUGAAGAAGAAGAAGAAAAGUAUGAAACACUGGAUGGUUUUUGUUGUGUGCUUUUUAUUUAUAGAAUUGGAGGAAGCUCAGUUCACGCUGUGGUCCACAUGGAUGACUUCUAUGCAAUUUCAGUUGAUUGUGCCC
RNAcentral lists this long non-coding RNA (60931 nucleotides) under Daucus carota (carrot). Its description in RNAcentral is "long non-coding RNA (DCAR_LNC005403)". Lineage: Eukaryota; Viridiplantae; Streptophyta; Magnoliopsida; Apiales; Apiaceae. The record is from RNAcentral.